AAAAUUUUGAGUGUGUCCACUUUGAAUUUCAAAAACCUAUCAAAAUAUAGGGAUUUAUGAUUUCAAUAUAAAAAAAUUAAAAUAAAAUAUAUUCAAAUUAAAGUAUCAUAAAAACCUAGAUUGUGUAUAAUCUUUGCAAAAUCGACAAAUACUUAACCAAUAUAAGAGGGGUGUAUUGGAUUGGGAUUUUAAAGCAUUUUUUUGAAUUCAUGAAAUCCGAGGGUAUUCGAUUGGGAUUGUUUGAAAUCCAUUAAAAUCUUGAGGUAUUCAAUUGAGAUUUUAAAUUAUGCUACAAAAUCUGAUGGUAUUCAAUUGGGAUUUUAAAUUAUGCUUUAAAAUCCGGGGGUAUUCGAUUGAGAUUGUUUGAAAUCCAUUAAAAUCUGAUGGUAUUCAAAUGCUGAUGGAUUUUUUUUCAUUUCAUAAAAUGAUGGAUUUUGUGGCAUUCUUCAGUGUAUUUUAAGUUUUUUGAAAUCCCACCAAAUUCAAUGGGAUUUUGAAGCAUUGUACCUAAAUCCUAUCAACUCUGCGACAUUUCGUCAAGAAUCCGCACAAAAUCAAAAUCCCAUACAAUCCAUUAAAAUCUAUAGACUCGGGGGUGUAUUCGAUUGGGAUUUUAAUGCAUUGUUUUUUGUGAAAUUCUAUUUGGUCCUAACACCACUUUUAAUAUUAAAAUUUAAAAAUAAUAAAUUAAGAUACCAAAUUUUGAACGCAAUCACAAAAUGUGCAAUUCCGUUUGCGUCCCGGUUACUCUAUUAGAUUUUUUAAAUGUAUGUGUGUAUUUUUGUUCCAGUUGUGUUAACAAUGAAAAAAUUAAGAUUUUAAUGAAAAAUUAUGUAAUAUUUUGGGACUAUAUGCUUUAUUAAAUAGGCUAGAGAGUCAUUAGAGAAAUGACAAAUACUCUCAAAAAAACUAAAGAAAUUGACUAUAAGAUAUUGCACAUUCUGUAAUGACUUUCAAAGUUCAAUAGCUCAAUUGAUUUUUUUUUUAAUUCUAAUAUUAAAAAUCUUUAUAAUAUUAGAAUGCAAAUCUUUAUCAUCAAGUUUAAAUUUUAAUAGAAGAAUGCAAAAACUUCAGUUUAGAUACGAUAGAUAACAUGAUUUGGAACUCUAAAUGUAUGUGCAAGUAGCUUGUAUAUAACAAAAAACAGAAUGGGGAAGAAAGAAACUAGAAGAUAAUUAGUAGAACUUUUAUAUGAACAGCAUGUCUGAAGGGCUUCACAUAGUUAAUAUACACAUAACACACUCCAGAGAUAACAGCAAUUACUUGGACAAGAGACUGGAAAUGAGAUUAUUAUGGGCAGGAUCAGAUAUGUGUUCAACAAGAUUUUGUAUAGGACCUUUACCAGUAACAGCAGCUUGUGCAUAAAAACCAAGCCAUGCAAUCAUAGCCAAUCUCCCAUUUUUAAUUUCCUUCACCUUCAGCUCCUCAAAUGCCAGUGGAUCUCUAGAAAGCCCCAAUGGAUCAAACAAGGCACCUCCUGGAUAGUUGAUGUCACCCGGCAAGUAUAUUCCUAAAGGCUCGAGAGCUUCUAUCCCACAGUAUCUCGCGUAUUCUGGUCCAACCUAUGUAUACAUAUAGAAAGAUUGUCACAAAUAAAACUUAUUGAUGAAGAUUAAUGAAAAAACGUUUUUUGAGUGGUAUGGCUUUUUUUACCACUUUGCUUACCCAAUUGAAAAUGGAGUAUCCCGUUUGUUCUCAAGAAUGGGUGUCAAAGAAAAUGGUACGAAAAUAAUCGGAAUACUCCAUUUCUAGAUGGGUAUCAUGUACAAAAUGUGAUAACCAACUCCCAAAUGGGUAUCCAAAAUGGUUUUUAAAAAAAAAAAAAGGAUUUCACCGAAAAAUGGUUACCUCUUUUUUUUUUUAGAUGGAAAAUGUGGUAUAAUUGGCCAAUUCCAUGUUUUACUAGUCAAUUGGCAUAACAUAAAUUCUUUUCUACUCUAUAUAUUCUCUACAUAUAGCUUUUAUUUAGUUGACUCUGGACACAAGCAUUGUAUGACCUUUUUAUGUGCUAGGCUGCUAGCAUGCUUCAGUUAAACAUAAAAGACUGUUUUAUGUGCUAGCAUGCUUCAGUUAAACAUAAAAGACUGGAAAUAAUUUUCACUGUUCAACAAAUCAUUGUGGUGUAAUUACUCAAGUGACUAUCAUGACUUUGUUGUGCUCUUCGGGGAAAAUUAGAGUGGCAUAGCCUCAGUAAAUAAGACAUCAAAUAGCACCAUACAGAAAACCUCCAAAAUGCUUAUUAUCUUCUCCAAAUCUCAAAGAUAUAAUAUGCAAAGAAAAUAACAGGUGCUUAAAGAAAUUAUAGGAGACAUGAGACAAUAAACCACAAUACACAUAAAAAUGUCUGCAAACUGCAAAGCAUUGGUAAGAACUAAAGGUAACAUGUCAAAUUAGGAAAUCAAUAUGCAAUCCUUAACACCCUAAAUAAAAUGUUUUUGCAUUGACAGGUGAACCAAGUAUCACAUAUGCAGAAAGAGAAAGAGAAAGAGAAAAGUGAAUAUGAUUUUUAGUAGGAGAGUUUACUGAUACUUGGGUGGGCUAAUCCACUAAUUCUUUACCUUAAGCCUAUAUAUAUAAAUGAAUUCCGGCAUUUGCUUAGGUUGCUAAUGAUUGAUGAUUACAGAUAUACUCUAAAUGUUAUAGGCACACCAUUUUUGUAUCUAGGUAAUGCAUCGCAUCAAAUCUUUAUUUAGGAUGCUGAUGAUUAAUGAUACACCACAAAAGAUUAUAAAAUCGUAUCUGGAAAAUUAAAAACACUACAAAAGACUUGUAUAAAAUUUGAGAUCAUUACCAUCAGAAUGGCUUGGCAGAUUGCUAUGACAAUGACGCCUUGACUACCAGCUAAGUGGAAUCCAGGAAUGCCGAGGUAGUCUAAUGUCUCCCCCUGAAAUACGAUUCGAAUAAUGGAUUGACAAAUUGCAUCAGUAAUUAUGCUACCGAGUCCUCCCUUCAGAUCUUUCAUAUUUUCAUUUUGUAUUGUCACACUUCAUGUAUCACACUGUGCAUGUAGAAUUACUAGAAACAAUGAAAAAUGAAGCAAGAUAUAAAGAUAUGCAGCAUUUCAGUGACAGCUCGUACUAAUGAAAUUAUUUGUGUCAGAUCAGCGACCUAUGUAAUUUUGACGGAAGAUUAUGAAGAGCGGAGAGCUAGCCAUUACCUGCAUUCAAAAUCCUGAAGUUUGAACCUUGGGACUUCUCGUAUGUUGUUAUAAGGGCAAAGGUUUUUAACUUGUAUACAACACCCCACGUCCCCACCCCACCCCAUAGCAUUAUAAGAAAACCAACUGUUUUCAACACUACCCGAUUGUCUUGUGCACACCAUUCUCUUAAACAGUUCUUGACCACCAAAUUUAAAAAACGGAAAUAAAUUUUGCUCACGUGUAAGAAAACAGGAUAUAAAAUUUAAUUUGCAUUCUGUUUUUGUGUGACAUAUAGACCUUGAAAUAUACUACAAAUUCAAACUUGAAAAUCUGGAUCUUUUAAAUUUAUAAUUGAUGAAAAAUUUGAAAAAAUAAAUAAAUAAAGUAAGAGUACUUCUGUAUGCCUGCAAGAAUUCAAGGGUAUACAAAUUGUGUUUUAUGGGAACACCAAGCCUAAUCUUAUACACAUAUUAGAUUUCUGUCCAUCCCCUCCUGCCCGUCUAAUACAUCAUUAAGAAGCCUAAAAAUGAAUAUUAAAUCAUAAAUUUUUCUUAAAAUUUUUACCAUUAUAUCCUAACUUAAUUAGCUCAGAAAAUAAAAGUGAACAAGAAUAUCUUGUGAAAUUGGGUUAAAUUUCGAACUUUUGGGUUGAAUUUAAGAUGAAGAAUAGAACAUUAGCUGUAGAACAUUCAGAGAAUAAGAAAGAAAUUCAGAAAUUUAAGAGAAAUAGGUACUAAAGAGAAGUUUGAAGUAAACUACUACUGGGGCCCGGGUUUCUAGUAUCUAUUAAGCAUUCACCUGCCCGGUUAUCCUACUCAAGCUUACUUGCAUACGACUUUAAUACCCUCUAACUGUAGUGUGGGCCUUAUACAAAAUUCUGCAAAUUAUUAAACCAAUCAUCUACUCUGACUAUUGUUCCCACAUGGUCUUUCUAACUUAUCUGUCUGGGUAUACUUAUUUUUUUUUUUCUUGUUAUAUAUUAGAACUUUACAAUCAUAAGCAACAGAAAAUCUAGACAUUGGGGUGCAUUUUGCAGAGUGCAUGCAACAAAAAAUUAUCUAGACUACAAUUUAAUGUUAAAUAUAUUUGAAAGUCUAAUAAGAUGUAAAAACUAUCACAUUUCGUAUAUACGUCAAUGAGACAAAAAAAAUACCAAGUGGGAAAUUUUUGCAUCACAGAUGUAAAAGUAUAGUGGGAAAUCAUAGUGUAACAAUUUGCAUUAAAACAAGCAAAGAGGUGUAGACAUGCAUGCUCAAGGGGGAGGGGGAAAGAAGAUGGUUCCUGAGCGCACCAGAAAGAAGAAAAGUACCUGAAGCUUAGAAUAGCCUACCCUCCACCAGACAGGUUCGAUGAAGUCAAAGGCUCCAAGUAAGUCUAGUAAUUCUGGAAUUAAAGCGCCAAGAGCAGCAAGCAUAGCCCAUCGAGCAUGCAAUAUUUCAAAACUGUAGACAUAAAGAUCAAGGCAUUGAACUUAAAUGUCAUACUCCCCCUCAAAUCUGAAAUAUAGAUACAUUUUCCUUUUCCUUGAACUACAAAAUAAGAGAAAAAAUUUUAGUUUCCAUAUAUAGAGAACAUAAUGUUACAGAUAUUUCUUCAUUCAUUUAUUACGGAAAGUACUACUACUUAAUAUUAAUAAACAUAGCUGAUGGUGGGUUUAGAUUUCUAGUAUAAUCAUAAAAAAUUGAGACAGCAGUGCUAGACCUAUUUGUUUGGAAGUUUGGCUCCGUGAUAUGAAUAUGAAAUUCAACUGCAGUAGUGCAGUUGCCUAGUAUAUUUAAUUAUAUACGUUGGGCACUAUACUAUCAUAAUAUAACCAAGCCUGUAGUAUUAUUAAUCUUUUUAUGUUAUAGGUUACGUGAAAGCUAUUAUAACUUACUGAUAUAGUAGCACAGUGUACCCAUGGAAACAAAUGGCCAGAAUAAGAUAUUAGUAGUUGAGUACAUACUUGAAGAACUUUUGCAAAGCCACUGGGUCCUUGCUUAAACCAGCAACAUCAAAGCCAUAAUCACCAGGAAGUUCUCCAUCAAGAUAGACAGGAUACUCAUAUGGAAUCGGACCAAGCCAUCGAGGGCGUUCUUCUCCAUACCACGAGCUGAAAAUAUUAAGUAAUGUCAGAUAAUGAGAAAGAAGGUUCUUAUAUAUGCACAAACUUCAUUUUGUUCGCCCUGCUACGAUGCAUAUAGAAAGUAUGAAAACAUUGUGAUUCUAUCACGUACAAAUUGGUAAUUCAAAAUUUGCAUUUUUCUAGUUAUCCACAUUCCAAGUUUUUGUAUUGGGUUACAAUAAAGUGAGGGAAAGACUAUGCAUAAAAAUUAUUACUCCUCUGUCUAAUACUAAAAGUAAAAUUUUUUCAUGUAAGUAUUUAAUUUUAUUGCAAAUAGAAAACACAAAUUAAUAGUGUACCAAUACUUUUAUACACCUUAAACUACCAUCAUAAUGUAAGGCAGUCGCAUCAAAUGGGAUGGACAAAUCAGGAAAAUUUAUUAUAGGGUCAGCAGCACUGGAUCAGAAAAUGCAUACUCAGGCAUAAGAACUUACAGAACUACAGUCUAGUGUUAAGGAAAAGUGUGGUAGUUAAAAGCGCAACAACAUUAUUAAGUGAUUAAAGACGCAAAACAGGUACUUAUGGAACUCACUUGACCAUGCACUAAAAUCAUUAUUAACUUUGCGAAGAGAUAAUUAUCUAAGAAUAACAUUUAAGACACCCAUAGGCAUAAGUCUUACAAAGCUGAUAGACCUAAUGAAACAUCAUAAUCAUUUCAGCAAUAUAAAGGGUCCCUAUAGUGAAAAAUCUAUACGCGGAGUUGCCAUUUGGGAACUUAUACUGGGUUGGAUUUCUAUGAUCAAUGCAAGCUACCACUUCAAUACCCUGAAGUUUGUGUGGAAUGUUCACCAGCUAAAUAAGCAUCUAAUGCAGCCAGGGACUCAUGUCUUGGCUCCAUUUUGGGCAAAAUUAUUGGCAAUAAGUCCAAUAACAAGUGCUAGUUAAAAAGUACAUCGAAAACUUAAGUUUAAGUCAUCGACAUCUAAUCACAAUCUAGGUCUUCUGGUACUGCCACACGUUUGGUACAAAAAAUUGUGCAGCUCGAGUAUUUCCAUCAACCACUUCAUCCUCCCACAAUUUUUUAUAAAUUGUAGAACCAAGUAGCACUUGAGGAACUAUACUAACAUGGGUAAUCCAACAAUAUUCAUUAAUCAACCACCCAGAAUACAAAAUUACCAUUCAAACAAAAAAAAGUCAUAUCUUUAUAUAUGUCUGAGCAUUACCUAUCAGUUCUUGCCUGCUGAGAAAGCUUGUUGAAGUUAGAAGCAUUAACAACCUCAAUCUUUUUUCUCUCCUCUAGUCUCUUCUGUAGAGUCUCUCCAAGUGGGCUGUUUGCUAUGGCUUUCACAGCAGUGAAUGGAAUAGCAGAAAACAACAACACCCCAGCAAGCUUAAACAAAAUCACUUUCUAUUAUUCAUCACAAUAUAUACAGAGAUACAAAUAAAAAUGAUGAUAUUGCAACUGCUUACCUCUGACCAAGAAGCUUUUGUGCGAGCAAAAGGGUGUGUGAAUUUAGGACUUCUAAGUAUCCUGUGGGAUUUAGUGGCUAUGAAAUUUGAGGCAAGCAGUUGUGAGGGAAAAGAAGAGGAUUGGUGUGGUAGAGCCAUUGGUGGCAAAGUUUAUGGUCGCUAAGUACAUUCGAACCUAUCGAACAUGAUUUUGAGGGGCGCAUUCAAUCGAUUUUAAUGGAUCGUUAUUUUAAUGGAUUGCAGUUUGAUUUUAAUUUUGCGUGGAUUAUUGAUAAAAUGCAGCAGAUUUGAUGAGAUUUAAACACAAAAUUUCAAAAUCUCAUGAAUUUUAUUACGAUUUCAAAAGACUUAAAAUACAUCAAAGAAUCUCACAAAAUCCCAAUUGAAUACCUUAGGAUUUCAAAAAAUCACAAUCGAAUACACUCAGAUUUUAUGAAUGGAAAAAUAAUGUUUUAAAAUCCCAAUUUAAUACACCUCUCUUAAUUUUUAUCUCCUUGAAAAACUAGCUACAUCGGGGGAAUGUGAUCGAAAACUGUCCGCAACACACCAAAUCACAUUUGAAAAAUGAUUUUUAAUUUUCACAGUGCGAUUGCGUUUUGAAUUUUUCACAAACUGAUGUGGUGCGAUUCAAAUCGUACCACAUCAUGAUAUUAUAACAUAUAUAAAUAUAUUAGUAAUUGUCAAAUAAAAUUAUAUUAUAAAUACAUUUAUAAUAUUUAUAUUUAUAUUUUGUAAAUAUUUGUUAAAUUUUUUCAAAUGAUAGUUAAUUAUUAUUUUACAGAUCUCGCAUUAUUAUUAUAUCAAAUUUUUACAAAAUGAUUAUAUCACAUGUCUCUUAGUACUCACAUUUAUUAUUAUAUUUGCACUUUCUUUUUUAUUAUUUUGGUAGUUGUUAUAGUUCUAAAAUGAUAAAUAUCAUACAAAUUUAUCAUCAAAAAAGUUCUAAUUAUUAUUUUUAAUAUUAAUUAAAACUAUUCAGUCUUGAGCAUACAAAUCGCACCGCACCAAACCAUAUUUUUGUGAUGGUGUUUACGCGGUUUUUCUGCUAACGCGGUAUAGUUGUGGCUUGAAUUUUCAACCAAUUCGCAUGUGUAGUUUGGUUCAUAGUUUUAGAAAAAGAAUGUAUCGCUCGCACCGCAUCGCAUUUUUGUGAUGUGAUUUACGCGAUUUUUAUGUUAGUGCGGUACGUGCGGUUUGAAUUUUCAACCAAAUCGAAUAUCAGUUUGGUUAGUGAUUUUAGUGAAUAUAUAUUGAAUGUAUAAAUGAUAAAACGAAUUAUGAUAUAUAUUGAAUGUACAAAUUAUAAAAUAGUUGCGAGACUUUCUUCUCAAAUAUCUUAAAUAUUGUGAUGAAUGAUUACAUGUUUUAUUAUAAAUCAUUUAAAAUUAAAAAAUAAAUUUAGAAAUAUUAAUUUCAAAAAGUAUUUUAUUCAAUUAAUAAUCUUGAAGUUGGUGUAAGGAUUGUAAUGAUUUCAUAUGAUGAAUAAUAUUUUAAAAAUUAAUAAAAUAUUAUAGACAUACCAAGUCGUAUGCGUCUUGCGAGAAAAGUAAAUAAAAACUUGCUCGGUUUCAACUUUCAACUGCAUCAGAAUUCAGAGGGUAUAUAUGUACAAGUAAAAUUGAUUUGCAUAUCAAACCGCCUGUUUAAAAACAAGAUAAAAGGGGCUAGUAUGUCGCGGCUUCAGUUUUAGGGUUCUCAUUCUCACUCUUUCAGAUCUCGGAGCAGUCGGUACGGUCACUUCGGCUUAUUGACAUCCAUAAACUUCCGUAAGUAUACUGGUUGAUAUAUAUUUUUAUAUCACAAUAUCAUUAUUCUGUGCACAUAUACUUACAUACACGCACACAUAUAUUGAUAUAUUGUUUAAACCCUAGAUUCUAUGUUUUGAUUCGAUUUUGGGGUUUCUGAUUGUGAUUAUUGUGUUUAUGUGUUAAACAGAUUUGUGGGGUUUUCGGGGGUUUGAGCCAAGGAGAUUUCGUGGGUUAAGUGUUUGAGGAAUUGUCUGACAGAGAUUAGGUGUUAUUUUGGUGAUUUUGAGGUAUGGCGAAUUUGGGGGGUGGUGCGGAAGCGCACGCUCGGUUUAAGCAGUAUGAGUAUAGGGCUAAUUCGAGUUUGGUGUUGACGACGGACUCGAGGCCUAGGGAUACUCAUGAGCCUACUGGGGAACCUGAGUCAUUAUAUGGGAAGAUUGAUCCUAAGAGCUUUGGGGAUCGGGCGUUUAGGGGGAAACCUGCUGAGCUUGAGGAGAAGAUGAAGAAAGCUAAGAAGAAGAAAGAGAGGGAGCCGUUGGAUGCAGAGGCUGUGCCUAGGCAGAGUAAGAGGAGGAGGCUGCAGGAGGAGAGUGUUUUGACGACGACGGAUGAAGGGGUUUAUCAGCCAAAAACAAAGGAGACUAGGGCGGCUUAUGAGGCUAUGCUCAGUGUUAUUCAACAGCAGUUAGGUGGGCAGCCUUUGAAUAUUGUGAGUGGGGCGGCGGAUGAGAUUUUGGCUGUUUUGAAGAAUGACACGUUUAAGAAUGUGGAUAAAAAGAAGGAGAUUGAGAAGUUGUUGAAUGAGAUACCGAAUGCUAUGUUUGAUCAGCUGGUGUCAAUUGGGAGGCUUAUUACGGAUUAUCAAGAUGGGGGUGGUGAUGCUGCUGGGACUGGUGGUGCUGCAGACGGGGAUGAUGCUCUUGAUGAUGAUGUGGGUGUAGCGGUUGAGUUUGAGGAGAAUGAAGAGGAGGAGGAAGAGAGUGAUCUUGAUAUGGUACAGGAUGAUGAAGAUGAUGAGGAUGAUUUAGCAGAUGGGCAUGGAUCAGGAGCUAUGCAGAUGGGUGGUGGGAUUGAUGAUGAUGAAGGGAUGGAAGCAAAUGAGGGAAUGACGUUGAAUGUUCAGGACAUUGAUGCUUAUUGGCUUCAGAGGAAGAUUUCUCAGGCUUAUGAGCAGCAGAUUGAUCCACAGCAGAGCCAAAAGCUUGCAGAAGAGGUAUUGAAGAUCCUAGCUGAAGGUGAUGAUAGAGAAGUUGAAACCAAGUUAUUGGUGCAUCUUCAGUUUGAUAAGUUUAAUCUCAUCAAGUAUUUGUUGAAGAAUCGGAUGAAAAUAGUGUGGUGUACCCGUCUGGCGAGGGCAGAAGACCAAGAGGAAAGGAAAAAAAUUGAAGAGGAAAUGACGCAGUUGGGCCCAGACUUGGCUGCUAUUCUGGAGCAGCUGCAUGCUACCAGGGCAACUGCAAAAGAGAGACAAAAGAACUUGGAGAAAAGCAUCAGGGAAGAAGCUCGCAGGUUGAAGGAUGAGAGUGGAGGUGAUGUGGACCGGGGUCGAAGGGGUAUAUCAGAUAGAGAUGCAGAUGGUGGGUGGUUGAACGGUCAGCGUCAGUUACUUGAUCUGGAAAGCCUUGCAUUUAACCAAGGUGGUCUUCUGAUGGCCAAUAAAAAGUGCGAGCUUCCUCUGGGUUCUUAUAGGAACCACAAUAAGGGAUAUGAAGAGGUUCAUGUACCAGCUUUGAAACCAAAACCGCUUGCUGAGGGUGAAAAGCUGAUUAAGAUAUCUGAAAUGCCAGACUGGGCUCGACCAGCUUUUGAAGGAAUGUCCCAGUUGAAUAGGGUUCAGAGCAAAGUUUAUGACACAGCUCUGUUCUCUGCUGAAAAUCUUUUGCUCUGUGCUCCUACAGGAGCUGGUAAGACAAAUGUUGCAAUGCUUACAAUACUUCAGCAAAUUGCAUUGAAUAGGAAUGCAGAUGGUUCAUUCAAUCACAGCAACUACAAGAUUGUUUAUGUGGCUCCAAUGAAAGCACUGGUGGCAGAAGUUGUUGGGAAUCUGUCUAACCGUUUGAAGCAGUAUGAUGUUAAUGUGAAGGAGCUGAGUGGAGAUCAGACAUUGACUCGCCAGCAAAUUGAAGAAACUCAGAUAAUUGUCACGACGCCAGAAAAGUGGGAUAUCGUAACCAGAAAAUCAGGUGAUCGCACUUACACACAGCUUGUGAAACUUCUAAUAAUUGAUGAGAUCCAUCUUUUACAUGACAACAGAGGACCUGUAUUGGAGAGCAUAGUUGCAAGGACUGUUAGGCAGAUUGAGACAACAAAAGAGCAUAUUCGGCUUGUUGGGUUAUCUGCUACACUCCCCAAUUAUGAGGACGUGGCUCUGUUCCUUCGAGUUGAUUUAAAGAGAGGUCUCUUUCAUUUUGACAAUAGUUAUCGACCUUGCCCUUUAGCUCAACAGUAUAUUGGUAUCACAGUAAAGAAACCAUUGCAGAGGUUUCAGUUGAUGAAUGAUGUAUGUUAUGAGAAGGUAAUUGGUGUAGCUGGUAAGCAUCAGGUCCUCAUUUUUGUGCACUCGAGGAAAGAAACUGCAAAAACUGCUCGCGCCAUACGAGAUUCAGCACUAACCAAUGACACUGUUAGCAGAUUUUUGAAAGAGGAAAGUGCCACUCGUGAAAUUCUACGCGAGCAUACUGAGCUUGUUAAGAGCAGUGAUCUCAAGGAUCUUUUUCCAUAUGGAUUUGCUAUCCAUCAUGCAGGUAUGAACAGGGGUGACCGGCAGCUUGUUGAGGAGCUGUUCGCUGAUGGUCAUGUACAAGUACUGGUUUCUACAGCAACUCUUGCUUGGGGUGUUAAUUUACCUGCCCAUACUGUCAUCAUUAAAGGAACCCAGGUAUACAAUCCUGAAAAAGGAGCAUGGACUGAACUAAGUCCUCUGGAUGUCAUGCAGAUGCUUGGUCGAGCAGGUAGGCCUCAAUAUGAUACUUAUGGAGAGGGAAUAAUAAUAACUGGACAUAGUGAAUUGCAGUAUUAUCUUUCUUUAAUGAAUCAACAGCUUCCCAUUGAGAGCCAGUUUGUGUCCAAACUGGCUGAUCAACUUAAUGCAGAGAUUGUGCUCGGUACUGUGCAGAAUGCCAAAGAAGCCUGCAACUGGCUUAGUUAUACAUACCUGUAUGUUCGCAUGUUACGUAAUCCUACUUUGUAUGGUUUGGCUCCUGAUGCUUUGAGUAAAGACUUGUUACUAGAAGAGAGAAGAGCUGAUCUGGUAAGCAUAACAACUUUUGGCUCCAUCUUUUAUCUUCUUUGUUUUAUUUUUUGAAUUAUUCUCUUGGUUUUCUUAUAGAUGCACUGUUUCGUAAAUACAUGCCAUGCCAGUUGAUACUAUGUGCUUGUAUAAGAUAGAUCUUGUGGCCUUCACUUUUAAAACUAAGGGACAAAAUUCUGCAGCGAAUGUAUUUUCACGAAGUGACGUUGCAUUUAGCUUAUGCCAGGGGCCUUUUUUGCUAGCAGAUUGUUAUACUUCACCUAAUAGAUAUAUUUGUAUGUAUGUGUAUAUUUAGCUUAUGCCAGGGGCCUUUUUUGCUAGCAGAUUGUUAUACUUCACCUAAUAGAUAUAUUUGUAUGUAUGUGUAUAUUUAGCUUAUGCCAGGGGCCUUUUUUGCUAGCAGAUUGUUAUACUUCACCUAAUAGAUAUAUUUGUAUGUAUGUGUAUCUCUGACUUUUAUCUUACUACAUGUGUUCAGUUAUGUUCUCAUAUGGUAGGAUGCUCUAUAACUAAUAGUUAUACAUUGAAGUAUAUGCCACCUGCUUUGACUAUCUAUUGUAAUUAGUAUGAAAAAGGCAAACAUAUACCUAUUAGGGGAUUUAUGAGUGACUAAAAAGGGCCUCCUGAUUUGAAUACAUUGAAGUUUAUGAGUGACUAAAAAGGGCCUCCUGAUUUGAAUAUAUGUUUGGUAAUUAUUUUGACAUCACAUCCAUCAGAUAGGGGAUUUGCAUUAUAUGCUAGAUUAGCCAACAUAGAGUUGGAAUGCAGGGAGAAGAACUUGUGACUGCAACUUUAUGUUGGUUGAGGUGGUUAGAAUAUUUAAUGCGAGCAGUGGGUGUGUUUUUUAUAAUGAAUCAAAUUUUGGCUUAAACCGUACAUGCCUUAAGGCAAGUUCAAUUGUGUGCUAUCUUUUGUUUUAUAUAUAUAUAUAUAUAUAUAUAUAUAUAUAUAUAUAUNNNNNNNNNNNNNNNNNNNNNNNNNNNNNNNNNNNNNNNNNNNNNNNNNNNNNNNNNNNNNNNNNNNNNNNNNNNNNNNNNNNNNNNNNNNNNNNNNNNNNNNNNNNNNNNNNNNNNNNNNNNNNNNNNNNNNNNNNNNNNNNNNNNNNNNNNNNNNNNNNNNNNNNNNNNNNNNNNNNNNNNNNNNNNNNNNNNNNNNNNNNNNNNNNNNNNNNNNNNNNNNNNNNNNNNNNNNNNNNNNNNNNNNNNNNNNNNNNNNNNNNNNNNNNNNNNNNNNNNNNNNNNNNNNNNNNNNNNNNNNNNNNNNNNNNNNNNNNNNNNNNNNNNNNNNNNNNNNNNNNNNNNNNNNNNNNNNNNNNNNNNNNNNNNNNNNNNNNNNNNNNNNNNNNNNNNNNNNNNNNNNNNNNNNNNNNNNNNNNNNNNNNNNNNNNNNNNNNNNNNNNNNNNNNNNNNNNNNNNNNNNNNNNNNNNNNNNNNNNNNNNNNNNNNNNNNNNNNNNNNNNNNNNNNNNNNNNNNNNNNNNNNNNNNNNNNNNNNNNNNNNNNNNNNNNNNNNNNNNNNNNNNNNNNNNNNNNNNNNNNNNNNNNNNNNNNNNNNNNNNNNNNNNNNNNNNNNNNNNNNNNNNNNNNNNNNNNNNNNNNNNNNNNNNNNNNNNNNNNNNNNNNNNNNNNNNNNNNNNNNNNNNNNNNNNNNNNNNNNNNNNNNNNNNNNNNNNNNNNNNNNNNNNNNNNNNNNNNNNNNNNNNNNNNNNNNNNNNNNNNNNNNNNNNNNNNNNNNNNNNNNNNNNNNNNNNNNNNNNNNNNNNNNNNNNNNNNNNNNNNNNNNNNNNNNNNNNNNNNNNNNNNNNNNNNNNNNNNNNNNNNNNNNNNNNUAUAUAUAUAUAUAUAUAUAUAUAUAUAUAUAUAUAUAUUACAGAACAAAAACCAAAUUUCAACGCUCCAGUGGUGCUAUCAUCACUUUAUGGUGCUAAAUUUUAGCACUAGCUCCAUCUAUUUUAGCACAACUAUUGGACAUGCUCUUGUGUGUUGGGAUCUUGAUUAUACUGAUGCAUCGACACAUUUAAUUUUCUAUGCAUAAUCUAUCUUGUCGGCUUAAAUUGGAGUUAUAUUUGGAUUUUUAUUGUUUUAGUGUAUUGACUUGUUAAUUUGUUUUCGAUCUCUAACGGAAGUUAAUAACUUGUUAUACAAUAAUAUCAAGUCAUAUGCAUGGGAGCUAACCUUUCAGUUUCAGGUCAAUACUGUUUGUUGUAUAAAUAUAAUGAGAAUACUAUAAUCCUAAGUUGUAUGCAUGGAGGCUAAUCUUUCAGGUGCAAUAUUCUUUGUUGUAUAAAUAUCUGAUGCAAGUUUCAUGGUUUGUAGGUUCAUACUGCGGCGACAACAUUAGACAAAAACAAUCUGAUCAAGUAUGACCGGAAAAGUGGAUACUUUCAGGUCACUGACUUGGGCCGCAUUGCUAGUUACUAUUACAUAACUCAUGGGACGAUCACUACCUACAAUGAGCAUUUGAAACCGACAAUGGGAGAUAUUGAGCUUUGUCGGUUGUUCUCUCUCAGUGAAGAAUUUAAAUACGUAACUGUGAGACAAGAUGAGAAGAUGGAGUUGGCAAAACUUUUAGACCGCGUUCCCAUUCCCAUAAAGGAAAGCCUUGAAGAACCUAGUGCCAAGAUUAAUGUUUUGUUGCAAGCUUAUAUUUCACAGCUUAAGCUUGAAGGAUUAUCUUUAACGUCUGACAUGGUUUAUAUCACUCAGGUUUACCCUUGUGACUAACCUAUUUGUUAAGCACUUUUUCUAACGAGUUUUUGUCAUGAUGUAAUUAAUCUUUUGUUUUCAUAUUGCAGAGUGCUGGACGUCUAAUGCGAGCUCUUUUUGAGAUCGUUUUGAAACGUGGAUGGGCUCAGUUGACUGAGAAGGCCUUAAACUUGUGCAAAACAGUGAACAAGAGAAUGUGGAGUGUACAAACACCUCUUCGUCAAUUUCAUGGAUUUCCAAAUGAGAUUUUGAUGAAAAUGGAGAAAAAAGAUCUGGCUUGGGAAAGAUAUUAUGAUCUCUCCUCACAUGAGCUAGGAGAGCUCAUUCGACAAAGAAAUAUGGGAAAAAUGCUGCACAGGUGUAUUCAUCAGUUUCCAAAACUUGUUCUGGCUGCUCAUGUUCAGCCCAUUACUCGCACUAUAUUGAAGGUUGAACUCACAAUCACCCCCGACUUCCUGUGGGAAGAUAAGUUCCAUGGAUAUGUAGAGCCAUUUUGGGUUUUUGUGGAAGAUAAUGAUGGGGAACACAUUCUUCAUCAUGAGUAUUUCUUGUUGAAAAAGCAAUACGUUGAUGAGGACCAUACUUUAAGUUUUACCGUUCCAAUCUAUGAACCAUUGCCUCCUCAGUACUUCAUCCGUGUGGUGUCAGAUAAAUGGAUUGGGUCGCAGACUGUCUUGCCUGUUUCAUUUAGGCACCUUAUUUUACCAGAGAAAUACCCUCCGCCCACUGAGUUACUUGAUUUGCAGCCAUUACCAGUAACUGCAUUGAGGAAUCCGUCUUAUGAAUCACUAUACCAAGAAUUUAAGCACUUUAAUCCUGUCCAGACUCAAGUGUUCACAGUCUUGUACAACACAGAUGAUAAUGUAUUGGUUGCUGCACCAACUGGGAGUGGGAAGACUAUAUGUGCGGAAUUUGCAAUCAUGAGGAAUCAUCAAAAAGGUCCUGAUAAUGUUAUGAGGGCUGUCUACAUUGCUCCUGUAGAAGCUCUUGCAAAGGAACGCUAUAAUGACUGGAAGAAAAAAUUUGGGGAAGGUCUUGGUAUGAGAGUGGUUGAAUUAACUGGGGAAACUGCUGUGGAUCUUAAACUGUUGGAGAAAGGUCAGGUGAUAGUCAGCACCCCUGAUAAGUGGGAUGCUCUAUCACGCCGCUGGAAGCAGCGCAAACAAAUUCAACAAGUCAGUCUUUUCGUUGUUGACGAACUUCAUUUGAUUGGGGGUCAAGGUGGACCUAUCUUGGAAGUGAUAGUCUCUAGGAUGAGAUAUAUAGCAAGUCAAGUUGAAAAUAAGAUCAGAAUUGUUGCUCUAUCUACAUCUCUAGCAAAUGCCAAGGAUCUGGGUGAAUGGAUUGGUGCGACCUCUCAUGGUCUUUUCAAUUUCCCGCCUGGUGUCAGGCCAGUGCCCUUGGAAAUACACAUUCAGGGUGUCGACAUUGCUAAUUUUGAAGCCAGAAUGCAAGCAAUGACCAAGCCAACAUAUACAGCAAUCGUCCAACAUGCUAAAAAUGGGAAACCAGCCAUCGUGUAUGUUCCUACGAGGAAGCAUGCUCGUCUCACUGCUGUGGAUUUAAUGACAUACUCUAGUAUAGAGGGUGGAGAAAACCCCAUGUUUAUAUUACAGUCUGUAACAGAACUUGAGCCUUUUGUUGACAGAAUCAAAGAACCAAUGUUGCGUGAGACACUGCAGUAUGGUGUGGGAUAUUUACAUGAGGGAUUGAGUCCCACUGAUCAAGAUAUAGUAAGAACCCUAUUUGAAACUGGUUGGAUCCAAGUUUGUGUAAUGACUAGUUCAAUGUGCUGGGGAGUGCCAUUGCGUGCCCAUCUGGUAAUCAUUAUGGGAACUCAGUAUUAUGAUGGGAGGGAAAAUGCUCACAGUGACUAUCAAGUAACUGAUAUUCUCCAGAUGAUGGGUCAGGCUAGUCGUCCUCUUGUUGAUAACGCUGGGAAGUGUGUUAUUUUCUGCCAUGCACCACGAAAGGAAUACUACAAGAAGUUUUUGUAUGAAGCAUUCCCGGUGGAAAGCCACCUUCACCAUUUUCUGCACGAUAAUCUAAAUGCAGAGGUGGUGGUUCAAGUCAUUACAAGCAAGCAAGAUGCUGUGGAUUACCUCACGUGGACAUUCAUGUACAGGAGGCUUACCCAGAAUCCAAACUACUAUAAUCUUCAGGGUGUUAGUCAAAGGCAUCUCUCUGAUCACCUUUCGGAGCUUGUAGAGAACACACUCAGCGAUCUGGAAACAAGCAAGUGUGUUGCUAUAGAGGAUGAUUUGUAUCUUUCUCCUCUAAAUCUUGGGAUGAUAGCAUCAUAUUAUUAUAUUAGUUACACGACAAUUGAACGUUUCAGCUCUUCUUUGACUGUUAAAACAAAGUUGAAAGGUCUUUUGGAGAUUUUGGCAUCAGCUUCUGAAUAUGAAGAACUUCCGAUAAGGCCAGGAGAGGAAGAGCUGAUACGGAGGUUGAUAAACCAUCAGAGGUUCUCCUUUGAUAAUCCUAAAUGCACAGAUCCACAUGUAAAGGCAAAUGCUUUGCUACAAGCCCACUUUUCUAGGCAACAUGUUGGUGGGAACUUGGCUGCCGAUCAGAAAGAGGUUCUUCUUUCUGCCAGUAGGCUUCUUCAAGCGAUGGUUGACGUCAUCUCCAGCAACGGAUGGCUUAGCCUGGCUCUUCUUGCCAUGGAAGUGAGUCAGAUGGUGACACAAGGCAUGUGGGAGCGUGACUCGAUGCUACUACAGAUUCCAUACUUCACUAAGGAAUUGGCUAAAAGAUGUCAAGAGAAUCCUGGAGGAAGCAUAGAAACAGUGUUUGAUUUGGUGGAGAUGGACGAUGACCAGAGGCAGAAGCUGUUGGACAUGAGUGAUGCUCAGUUAAUUGAAAUUGCAAAGUUUUGCAAUCGGUUCCCAAACAUUGAUUUGACAUAUGAUAUACUCGACAAGGAAGACAUCAGGGCUGGGGAAGAGAUCAGUUUGCAGGUAACUCUAGAACGGGAUCUUGAGGGUAGGUCUGAAGUGGGACAUGUUGAUGCUCCUAGAUAUCCCAAAGCCAAGGAGGAAGGAUGGUGGCUGGUGGUUGGUGAUACAAAAAGUAAUCAGUUGCUUGCCAUCAAAAGGGUGCCCCUGCAGAGGAAGUCAAAGGUGAAGCUAGAUUUUGUUGCUCCCGCAGAAACAGGUAGCAAGAGCUACACCCUUUAUUUUAUGUGCGACUCUUACAUGGGCUGUGACCAGGAGUAUAUUUUCAGCAUUGAUGUAAAGGAUGCAGGUGAUCCAGAGGAUAACAUGAGAGAAUGAUUUGUUUUAGCCACUGAUACUUAUUACUCUGAGUAUUAAGGAUGCCAUUUGUUAUAAUGUUGCACUUUUUAUGUAGUUCUGCUGCUCUUAGACUUCUGUGUGCCUAGCUUAUGUUAAUUGGAUCACUGUCUUUCUCUAAAUAAAACAGUCUAUGCAUCACUUGUUUGUGUUACUAAUGGCCAAUGGGUGUUGCAGAGUAACCUGAGUUAUUGAGUAUCCUGAAAUUGGACUGCAUAUGCUUUUUAGUCUAUUUUAUCGAUUGCAUGCUAAUGUGGCAAUCUUAAAUACAUCAUACUAUAGGCACUUGCAUAUUCUGUCACAUACUUGGAAGUUGGAACUGCUCAUGUAUACAGUUUUGCUUAUAAUCUACUCCUGUUCCGUGCAUUUCUUUCCAUUUUCUAUUCCCUCUUAGUAUGCUAAUUACAUAUCAACACUUAGUAAAAGUAGUUUAUUUGUAUAAUAUAUAUAAAUUAGAGUUAAGUUCUAUUGAGUACAAAAAAAAUCGGAGUAUUGGAGUACAAAGUUUGAUAAAAUGUAAUCUAGUCAUCUAAAUUUCAAUUUUUUUGUCCAAUAAUAUUUGUAAAUAUUUGACAACCUGCACAUUAUGUUCUGCAACAUAAACAUCGUGAUCAAAUGGUAGAAUAAUUACUUUUAUAAAUCAUAGGACUCUAUGUUCUGCAAUAUAACUAAUAAGCAGAACAAUAAUCUUAAUACUUGUUAAAGUUGAAAGAUAUUAAUGAUUAAUUGACAAUUAUGUGCAAGACAACUUAUAAAUGAUAGAUUAUAUCAAAAUUUGGAUAAUCAAAGAUAUUAUAUAGGAUCAAACUAAAAAAUUAUGAUUUGUACUCCAAUACUCCAAUGUUUUUAUGUACUCCAUAGAACUUAACACAUAUAAAUUAAUCUUACAUGCUAUCUUUCCUAAUCUGUUAAUUAUUAUUGGAUUUCAUCACUAUAUCAAAUUUUCUUACUUUUUUUCAUACUAAUUUAUUUAUUUUAUCUGUCUAAUCUCAAUGUUAAAAAUUAAGUGAGACAUAUUUUUGUUAUUAGAGCGGGUAGCUUAAUUUACUGUAAACAUCAAGGGCAGAGAGCUUAAGUUUUUACCAUUUACUUGUCGACAGCCUCCACUACUGGUGCCUUGUCCGAUAUUAAGCCCUUGAAGUGUGCUGGCUUAUGGCUGUAAUUCGAGCCGAGCCUAAUUCGAGCCAAGUUUAAUCGAGUCGGUUCGGCUCGGUUAACUAAUCGAGCCUAAAUCUUUGCCCGAACUCGACUCGGUUAAUUUUACGAGUCGAGUCGAGCCGGCUCAUUUAGCUAAACGAGCCGGUUUUCACUAGUCGAGUGAGCCGCCUCGUAUAAUUUUACACUUAAUCGAGCUCAAACCUCUACCCGAACUCGGCUUAUUUAAUUUCACGAGUCGAGUCGAGCCAGCUCGUUUCAUUAAACGAGCCGAAACUUUUGCCUGAACCCGACUCGUUUAACGAGUCGAGCCGAGCCAAACACACUUAAACGAGUUCGAGCCGAGCGAGCUCGCGAGCCGCCCGACUCGAAUUACAGCUCUAUGGCUAACUACUCAUACAGCCAUACCAAUCAAGACUGUUCACUCACUAAGGGGUCGUUUGGAUUGAGGUUGGGAAUGAGAAUCGAGAAUGGGAAUGAAGGGUAUGGGAAUGGGGGUUAACGGGAAUGAGAAUGGUAUGGUAACUCAAAGGGUGAGAAGGGUAUGAUUUAACUACCUAAAAGGAUUGGGGUUGUCAUUCCAUAGCACCAAAUAACUAAUCCAAACACUUGUUAUGAGAUUAAGGUUCUGAUUGCCGUUAACUGGCCUCAUAAACCAUGAACCAAACACCCCCUAGAUACUUCACGUCAAAUUUGCUGAAUGGAAUAUCUUCGACGCCAACUUCAUAUUUCAUAAGGAUUUAUAUGGCAAUAAAGGAAAAACAGAUCAUUUUUACCUGGACUUUGGAGUCAUUUUCGGUUAUGAGUUGAUUCUUUUUUUGUUCAUAUAAUAAGUCCCGAGUUGGCUUAAAAUCAAAAAUAAAUCAAAAAAUGGUAUAAAAGGAUAAGUUAGUUUGAUAUAUUUUUUCUGAUCACUUAAUUUUUUUAAUAUUUUUUAUAUAAAAAUUAUCCAGAUGUCAACCCCGAAGGAGAACAAUUGGUCUGUAAUCUGUAUAUAUAUUAUACUUAUAUUAUACUUUGCAUGUGUAUAUUGGUACCGCCGUGUCUAAUUUUUUGUAUGUCAUAUAAGAGCAUCUCCAAUGUAAUUAACUACAAUCGUUGGCAAAAUUGGACUAGUAUGACAUUAUUUAAAAUUUGCUGAACUUAUAAGAGCAUCUCCAACGGUGUUGGCUAUAAUGGUUGGCUAAAUUGGACUUGUAAGACAUUAUGUAAAUUUUGCUGAAACUGUAAGACAUUUUGUUUCGAUGGUAUUGGCUAUAUUGGUUGGUUAUAAUUUAAAAAUAGUAUGUUAUUAAUAUUUUAGAUUUUAAAAUAUAAUAUAUCAGUUUAAUAUGAUAAUAAAUGAUAUGUAAUAUUUCUACAGAUUUCUUAGAGCAUCUCCAACGGUGUUGGCUAUAAUCGUUGGCUAAAUUGAACCUGUAGGACAUUAUGUAAAAUUUGCUGAACAUGUAAGACAUUGUACUUCAAUGGUAUUGACUAUAUUGGUUGGUUAUAAUGUAAAAAUAGAAUGUUAUUAAUAUUUUUUUUUGAUAAUUCGAUAUUUCAUUCAUAUAAGGGGACAGUACCUCACUUUGAAAAUGAGGACACUGAGAAUACAACGGAACGUCAACAACACGCCUAAACAGCCAAACUAAACAUACGACUUAAGCUAGCUAGAGCAUACCAUUUAAACUAGAACAUGCUUCUAAGAGGAACCAUAGAUAGGGAAGGGACUAUACUAGGAAUAGAGUUCUACUGUAGCCUCUAUUCCAUACAACCAAGCUACUGACUUAAUCUAUGUCACCUAAUGGAGGCUCAUAAGCCCAGAGAGGAUCCUUGAGAUCGUUGGGGCCGAAACUUGCCACAAACGAGUCUUCCACCGCGCCUUCAAUCAUUUCCUCCAUCUCAUCUAUAUCCAUCUCAGAGCGAGCGAACCUUGGAGCAUUCAACUGACCCAGACCCAGGUCAUCAACUUGGUCUGCAAGAGAGACUGACAUCAAAAUUCACAGGGUCUAGGGCGUCAUAAGGGACCAUGAUGUCCAUGUAGUCUGCAUGCGGCACACCCAUGCCCUGGUCCCAAUCAAGAAGUUCUUCCACGCCCCCAACUGGCCUAUCGAAGGUAUACAGCCUUUGAUAGGUUUCCAUACCGAGUUUGACGAGGAAGCGAGGGACUCUGUUACGAGAUGGGUGAACGUAAGCCACCGUGCACUUGCGACUCUUGUCCUUUAUGAGAGUAUCCAGUUGGUCAGUAAUAUCAAAAACAGAAGCAACAACCCUCCCUGAAGUGCUUGAUUGUCAUGUAAGCCUGAAAGUUGUCUGUCUCGAGAAUGAUAUCCUUGAAGUCAUGCACGAUGGCCCUGCGGAGAGGAGCGUACAUCGCCCACAGUUGAUUUCCUAUAAGAGUCAGCCCUGGAAUGACACCCGUAGUGACGAGCCUCAUAUCUGUUUCAGAAUCACGGUAAACAGCUCCGAUUCCCAUUGAGUUUCCAGUGCUGAGAGGGGUUUUGAUAGCUGUUAGUAAUAUAUUUUAGUUUGUUAAAAUAAAAUAUAUCAGUUUAAUAUGGUAAUGGAUGAUGUGCAAUCAUCCUACAGAUUUCUUACAGACUGGUUCGAAAAUAUAGUCAUCCAUUAAAUAUAGUCAUCCAUAGGAGGUUGAUAUAGUCAUCCAUUAAAUAUAGUCAUCCAUAGGAGGUUGGCUAAAAUUAUAGACAAUAGGUUCAUGUGGUGGAGUAUGAUUUUUUCAACAGGUUGGCUAAUUUUUUUAUAUUUAGAAUGCCAACUCAUUUUUUAACCAAUGGGUUUGUAUGGUUGAAGAUGCUCUCAGAACAUGUAGUGAUUCAAUAAAUAUAGUCAUCCACAAGAGGUUCACUAUAAUUUUUUAAUUUAAUGUUAGAUAAUUAUUGACUCCAAUUGACUCUGCAUACACAAAAAAUUAUACUUACUAAAAUUCCGUAUCUAAAUAAAAAAUUGUUAGGCACAUCCUAAAAUAUCCAUGAAAAAUUACCUAAAUUAAAAUAUAAAUUUUCAUAAUAAUUAAAAUAUGAUUUUAUCAUGGUUGCUAAAUGCAAAUCAGUUUUGCUUGAUGCAAUUCAGAGAAAUUACUUUACUAUCCCUUCUAAUUUUACGUGCAACAUUAAAUGUGUACGGCGGUACAGCAUCAACACUAAUGAGAAUUUACAGUUUUAUCUUUCCUGUUUACGGUUUAUCUUUCCUGCCAUAUAUGUAGCGUUUCCUUAUUUUUGUAAGUAAACCAAAAUAAUGUUUAAAUAACAUCGAUAUAUAUAUUAUUUCGUUUCAAAAAAAAAGAUCAAUAUAUUAUUGUAAGAUUAAUUUUUUUAACAUUUUCUAAAUACUGUAAAUGAGUUCUUUAAUAUUAGUUGAUGUUUAGAUUUUUACCACACAUUUUUAAAUAUUUCGACAGGAUAGUUAAAAUUAUAAUUGUUUUAUUAAAAAACAUAUAAUCAAAAUUUUCAUUAAAAAUAUAAUACAAAUUAAUUAAAUUUGUCUUGCAUUCAAAAUAUCUAAAAUUAAAUGUUGAAACUUAAAAUGACAAAUAAAAAAUCUUAUUUAUAUCUUUUUUUUGAAAAAAAUCUUAUUUAUAUCUUAUUUAUACUUGAGUACAUAUUGUGAUUAUAUUUACUUGCUAUGCUCAAAUUAGUAUAUACAACUUUUGAUUAGAAUAUAUAGUGGUAAAAGACAUUAGCACGGUGUAAUAUUUAUUUAUAUAAAAUAAUAAUUAUUCAAUAUCAAAAUUAUAACACGUGAAAAGUGAAAAUUACAAGUAACUUAGAUAUCAAAGCAUGAUUUAUAUAUAAUAUUUACUAUUUUUUUUAUUUACCUCAUGUGUCCAAAGUUAUCAUUUUUUUUAAACAUGUAUUUUAAAAUAUAGACCAAUUGCUCCACUAACUUUUACUUAAAAUUAUUGUUUUUAAUAAAAUUAGAUUUUAAAAUUUUAUUUGAGAGAAAAAAAAUUGGAAAAAUAUAUGAAGCUGUCUUUUUUAUUUUUAAAAUACAUAUAAACAAUCAAUACGAGAGACAAAUAAAAUAUUAUUUUUUAUAAAAUAAAAACAAUAUAUAUACUGUGAUAAAAAGAGUUCAAGAUAAAUUGAUUAUACUCAUUUUCAGAAUAACAUAAUUUUACUAAACACGAUGAUAUAUUAAUUAUACUGAAAAUAUGAAAUAAGUAUUGACAAAAGUAAAAUAUCUUUCUAAUAAUUUCUAAUUUAAAGAUUUGAAUUUAAAAUUUUAACCAAAGACCAUUUAAAGAAUAUUUAAAAUAAGUAAAAUAUGAUAAAAUCUUAAAAUUUUAUAAAAUAUCUUUAUGAUAAUUAUUAAUUAUGUGAUGUCAAUUUAAAAUUUGAUAUAUAUUAAAGAAUUGAAUUUAAAAAUUAUCAAAGACAAUUUUAAUUAUUAAAAUCUUUCUUCUAAAUAAUAACACAGGAAAACACUAAAAUGCAAAUGCUCCUCUUAGAGCAUCUCCAAUAAGCUCUUUAAACAAGCUCUUAAAUGAAAAAAUAGAGAGCAUUAACAAAAUGGAAGCUCCAAUAGACUCUUAAAGGCUCUUCAAAACCUUAAGAGUCUAUUCUCUCUCCUCUCUUUUAAGAGUCUCUCACUCACUCUUAAGUUAUAUUUUAUUAUAAAGUAAUACAAGCAUCCACUUUCUCUUUCCACUCUAGUAUUGUAGUCCUAUUCAUUUAAUAAUAAAAUAUUGUUUAAGAGUGGAUGUAAAGAGUGUUGUUGGAGAUGAAUAUACAUUAAAUUGUUAAGAGUGAAUAUUUUAUAUUAUAUUUGAGGAAUGACUUAAGAGACUAUUGGAGAUGCUCUAAGCGCUUCUAAUAUACCCCCACUCACAUUCAGCAUUUAAUACGUAUUGACUGUACUAAAAGGCUAAGAAAGUACUUUAUAAAAGAAAAAAAAAAAAGGCUAGGAAAUUAAUUUGUGCGAAUUGCAUUAAGCAAAACUGAUUUGCAUUUAGCAACACCCGAUUUUAUCUGUUGACAAUUGCCUCGCACCAUUUUUAUGGUAGUUUAAAACUGCACGAAUACGGAGGCUAAAUUUUCUGUAUAUACAAAAAAUCUCCGAGCUUUCGUAUUUUUGUGGCGGCGUAUAAAAAUCUCAGCGUGCUUCUCUCUAAACUCCGGCGCACACACCCCUCCUAUGGCGGCGCGUAUACUCCCACGCGUCCUACCUAUCUCAUCUCUCUCCACUAUCCGAUCAACCACGCACUUAAAAUCUCUCUCUCCGCUCUCAUUCAACCGAUUCUCGGUGUCAUUUUCGUCCUCGAUAUCUUCGCUGUUCGGCAUUCGCCGCCGGCGGAGAUUUUUAAGCGACGCUUCGAGGAGCGGCGAGGAGUGGAGUGUAAGGAGAGGAGUAUUCGCGGAGCAGCGAGGGUAUCGGAAGCUGAGAAGGCGUGCGGCGAAGAGUAAGGAGAAGGAGUUAGAGCUUUGUGUUAAGAUUUGCGUUGAAGAACAGUUGCCUGAUGAUCCUGAAACUCUGGUACGUGUGUUUAAUUUUGAAAAUGUGCGUCUUUGUUGUUGUCAAUGAUUGUUUUGUCAAUUGGACUCAAGUGUGAUGAGAUAAGUGGUUGGAAUUCAAAAUUUGAGAUAAUAUUGGUGGAUUUCACGUUUAAAAUUUGUCGAGAGAGCUCUCGUUUUGAAUUAUGUUUCUGUUUAAAUUGUGCAGUAGUAGUGUGUGUGUGUGUGAGAGAGAGAGAGAGAGAGAGGGAGUACUGAAUCUACAAGAGCAUGGGUUAUGACAAUUUGAAAAAUGUGUUGUCAUUGGAUGUAUAAAAUUCUUUGUGAAAAUGUGAGUGAUUUUAUGUAUAGCAAACUGACUACAAUACGUACCUAAAGAUAUGUGACAAGCUUUUACUACUAGAUGAUGCGUUUUAAGUGACUGAUAUACAGAUAUAGCUACCAGUUACUAAAUUUUAAAAAGAGAACUGAUUAAUUAUAACCUAUGUUAGUCCAACUCUUUGGUUCCCGUCGUACUUAAGUCGAACACUUGGGCAUGAUAUUUAUGGCUGAAAUGUGGACACUUAGUCCAGCUGAAAUACCCACAUAUGAGUUGAAAACAGGAUGCUAAAAGGAAAUCGAUGACAAGAAACAAGUAGAAUUGAGAAAAAUGAACGAGAGAUGAAGAUACCUAAAAUCUAUAGUCCUUUUAUUAAAAUAAUGCUUAGUUUGAUCUUCAUUGUAACUUUUGGGUACUAAAUUUUUCCUAAUAUACUUACUUUUAAUAAUUUUGCUGGGUCCCCGUGCCUUUGUCUAUAUAUUACAAGUCAAACACUCAGAUAUAUGUCGUUUCCUCAAAGUGUGAUGGAUGGCCUGUACAGCAAACUAUGUCAUGGAAAAUGUAUCUUGUAAUUUGAUGCUAUCUAUGAUUUGGGUUCCACCGAAACAUACUUCAGACAUCUGAAACCACAAUGAUGUUGAUUUCCUGCUCUAUAUUUAGGCUUAUGGGAAUGCGCUCAAGUUUUUAUGAUAAGAUGGAUAUAAGUACAGUGUAUCCAUUAGCAACAAAUGAAGUACUAUAUGGUUUGGUUCUUAUUCCCUGAUUAUUAUUUUUCUUCCUACCUCCGUGGUAUUUAGAAUUUUAAAUACCUACCUUAAGAAAAAACAUUUUUUUUGUUAGUGAUUGUUUUUUGUCUAAAAGUAUAAAUCAAUUUUUGGAAUAAAUAACUAGUUAUUGGAUGGAAAGAUACUGCUAAAAUGUGUUUGUAAUCUCUUCUUGCAUAUCUCUAUUAGGAGGUGUAGGUCGGGCUGUGCUGAAUUGGCACAAUUAAGUGUGAACCGUCACUGAAAUUUUUUGGAUGCUGGGUAGCCACUAGCCAUGUGACAGCAGUAGAAUAUGUCUAGGCAUUUUGUUUUCUGAAUUAUUGGAGCUCCUGUCUAGUCCAUUAAGGUCACAUUGAGAUAUCCUUAAAUUAAAGUUUAUGUUCAUAGACACAAAUGCUUUUCUGAGCAUUGGCUCGAUGGAGUUUUGUGGUAGUUAAAAAAAAUGUUACUCGUAAAGAAUUGUAUGCUAAACAGUGGCCUAGCCACCCUAGGGAGGUACCCACUCCUGGAAUUUUUUACAAGUUCUGCUUGGAUGAUUCUUAUUCGUUUUAGUUAGUUAGAACUUAGAAAUAGGAUAAAUCUAAAUAACACUUAUAUUCUUGUGUUUCUUUUAUCAUUCUAUUCUUUUAAUUCACAUGUAAAUGUAAAACUACACAACGAUGUAAUUAGUGAAUAUAAUGCUCCAAUUUAUCCAAUAAUUUAUUAGCUAUUUAAGCAUAUCGAUUUUGAUAUUUUCUUUUUUUUAUACACAGUAUUUGUAUUGGGUUUAUAUAAAACUUUAUUACCGGGUAAUGGAUAAUAACAAAGAACAAUAUGACAGCUUGAUUUUUUUUUUUUUUUAUCAUUGUUAAAUUCCAGUAACUUCUAUAGUUAUUCAACCAUAUAUCUUAAAAGUAACUUUUAAAUUUACCAAAAAAAAGGGGCAAGUCAUAAGUGUAUAUUUGCCCCCUUGAGUUUAUAACCUGGCUACUGCACUGUGUGAAAGUAUUUGAUCUAUAAUAUAAAUGCUAUUAAGCUUUCAGAAACAUCCACAUGUUGCCAUAGGACCCAGUGAAAAAUAUAAAAAUUUAUAUCCUUGAUCCCACUUAUAUAUUUGCUACAAAUAUUGCUAAUAAAAUGCUUCCAAAACUAUAUAAAAAGGCAGUAGUUGUCUUUAACACAAACAAGACAAUUUCUCUUUGUUCUUGUAGUUUUAAGUUUCUAUUAUAAUUGCCAAUUUAAUUUAUCAUUUGAUGUCUUUACUAAACUGUUUUACGAUUGAAAACAUUGAUUUCAAGUUAUCUUAAAUAAAUAGUUCACCCAAGACGCCCUUACAUAAUUGAUUCACUCAAAAUGCCUUCACUUGUCAGCUAGUCUUGUUGAAGUUACGCAAGCUCCGAGCCUCAACUUGACACCGUAGUAACCAUGGUUGUUACAGUUUAGACAUUACCCAGAUAGCUGAAUGUUUUUACUUUCCACAUUCGGCGCAGGAUAUUGCAGAAGUUCUGAGAUUAAAUGUCCCAAUGGCCAUGAAAGUAGCAUUUGAUGGUCUGAAAGAUUCACAGUAUAAAACAAGGGAUCCUGCAAUUGAUGAUGUUGGUUGUUUUGAGAAUGUUGAACUGUCCGUACUUCUUUGCAAUGACGAGUUUAUUCGCAAACUUAACAAGGACUGGCGGGGUGAGGACCAUGCAACUGAUGUUCUCUCCAUGUCCCAACAUAUUCCCGAACUAAAGCUUCCGAUUGUAAGAAUUUUAGACAUUUAUCUCGCAUCAUCACUGCACAAGUUUUUGUUUACACAUUUUAUUCUUUUGCAGCUUAUGUUGGGUGACAUUGUAAUUUCGGCUGAGACAGCAGCACGCCAAGCAGCGGAAAGAGGGCACACUCUUCUUGAUGAGAUACGCAUACUCGUGGUUGGUUUUAUUUCCUUGCUGACAUGAUUUUUUUUUGGUUUUUGAUUGUUAAACACACUCACACGUCCAUCUUGUCUUUAACAAGAUAUGAACCCUCGUCAUACCGUAAAGGGAGUGAGGGACCAUUAAACCAAGAGGUCGUUGAUCUUUGUUUAAUGUCUGUCAUAUAGUAUUAUGAAAUAUAUAUCCACUCUCUUGAGAAUUGUCUGGGCUGUUGACUUUGAAAGCAGUGCUUCUCUUCCCUUUACAUUCAGUAAAUAUCUGUUCAUUUUAAUUCGUUUUAUAUAUGCAAAAGGUGGGAAGAGGAUAAGUCAUCUUUUAUAUUAGAUAUGAUAUAAUAUGCAAUAGCAGGGGGGAAGUUCUACUAUCAAGUCUUACCAUAUUGUCUUGACUUUUGUGAUAAUAAAAGUUGUGAUUCUUAAUAAUUACUCAAUAUUCAUGCAAAAUGACUUUUAAAAGAUCAGAACAUUAUGUGGAAAGUUUGGAAAUAUUGGUUUGUCUUAAUAUAUUUUUUUUUACUAUAUUCUGGUAAAUAUUUGGCUCAAGGAAAGAAUUGAUACUGUCUAAAGCAUCGGCUGGCAUUGAGCUGGAAUCUUAAGUUUUUUUUUUAUAUAGUAGUAGAUACUACUUAAAUGCUUUAUGCCCUUUAGGUUCAUGGGUUGCUACAUCUUUUGGGGUUCGAUCAUGAGCUCAGCGAUGAGGCUGAAGCAGAAAUGGAGAAAGAAGAGGAACUUCUGUUAAAGAGUCUAGGAUGGAAAGGAAAAGGAUUAAUUCAGAGCACCCAUGAUGCUGUUGAAGAUAAUGUUGCCUCUCAUAUUGAUGUUCUGACUGGUAACGUUCAUCUUGUUCAAAGCUUAUAAGAUUCAAUUUCUUUCCUUCUUGUACUUUCUUAUUUUGAUAGGUUUCAUGUAACUGUUCAAGGCAAUAAUGAUUGAAAUUAUUUUCACAUUGGCAAAGUUUACAUUCUCGCCCAUUCUUCAGAGACCAUCAAAUUUCAUUCCCCACCCUUUUCCCUAAUUUUUUAGAAUUUAGUUCCCCCCUUUGUUGUCUGUAGGUCCAGCUGGCUGCUGAAAGGUCACAUAUGUAUAUGUAUUCGACUAUCAAGUUACUUAACUAAGAUUAGGCUAUUAAGUGCCGUCUAGUAUUAUUAAAUAUGUACUUGAACCAUAUAAACUUCUUAAUUACAAUGUUGCCUUCCGUUCCUAGCCUUUGCACAAAAUUGUUUUCCCUCAAGGUUUGCGCCUAGAAUAUGAUGUUUAUGUCAUUUAUCCCAGUUUCGGCAGACAAAGGGUUAGUUUCGAACGGUUUAUUUAUUCCUGAAAGCAAAUUGUGGUGUAAGAUUUAGCUAUCACAACUCAUGUUAUCAAUUUCCUUAGUAUUGAACCAUCAAAUGCAUAUGCACAGGGGUGGCAAUUUCGGGUAACGGAUCGUGUUUGUGUCAGCAAUCGGGUCGAUUUCGGGUCAACCUAAAAUCACUUAAAAUUGAAUAAAACCAAAAAUUGAAGUUAUUACAAAUGAAAUUCUAGUUUCGGGUCAUUUCGGGUCCAUUUCGGGUCUGUCGGGUAAUUUUCGGGUCAUUUUCGGGUUUCUGUCUCAGUAAAUCGGGUUUCGUGUCGGGUCGGGUUCGUGUCGGGUUUCGGGUCGUGUCUGAUAUUGCCACCCCUACAUAUGCAUAUAUACAUAUAUACACAUACAUACAUAUAUAUAUAUAUAUAUAUAUAUUGUGUGUGUGUGUGUGUGUGAGAUUCUUUGCUGAUAAAGUCAGAAUCCUGAAUCCAGUUUGUGAGCAAAUCAUAGUUUUAUAAUUAUAUUUGUUAUCAAUACACAAGUUGGACUUAAAGACUGUAACUAAAAAAAUUAAGUUUACAAAAAUUUAUAACAGCUCUGUUAGUGUUGUGAAACUAAAAUUUGCCAACUGAUUGAACGAGGAAAGGCAUCCAUUGGUGCAUCAACUAUGUUCUCACGGUACAUUGGAGAUACACAUUUAUGAUUUGAAAUAUAGAGUAACAGCCCUUAAAAAAAGCUGAUGGAUGAGAAUCAAUUCUUCAAAGAAUGCUUUAAAUCAGCUUCGGUCAUGACAAGUGCUGAAAACUUCACAUAACAAGAAUCGUGGUUGGGCAUUGUUUUUGUUUCUCUUGCAUAUAUUAGCAAUGGCGAUGUUUAUCAAAAUAAAAUUUUAAGUUAAUUAAGAUAUAUGCCUGUAGUUGGACCAAAUGGAUUUUAGACUUGCAUAAAGGGUUGGAGAUUUGAGGAAGUUUUGGUCAUUAGACCUUGUAAUCAUAUAUAUAUUUUCUCUUUUUUAGCACAUUCUUUUGUGAUGGUAUGUUGCCAUCAAUUUGUUAGAUGCUUUUGCUAUUUCAUAGAUCUAGAUACUUGAUAGGAUCUUAACAAGUGAAAUUGUUAAAAGACAGAAAAAAAGAAGGCAGUCUUCGUUUCUACAGACCAAAGUACAGUCAUAUCUUUUGCGAUGUGGAUGGUGAGUAUUCUUUAUUUGAUAUUUUGCUAAUGUCUUAUUUUGUUUUUAUCAGCUUUAAGUGCUUACAGUUGGUAUUUUAAAUGCAAGGAACAUUGCUUAACAGCAAAAGUCGAAUCACCGAAGCAACGGCAAAAGCUUUAAGAGAGGUUAUAUCAAGGGGUGUAAGGGUGGUGAUAGCUACAGGGAAGGUAAGCAUAAGGCUUUACUGGCCUGUCUUAAAUUGUUUCUGUUUCCUUCUUUGUCAACACUUUCAAGUUCUGGAUGUUUAAUCAUAAAGUGAACUUUAAACAGACUCGCCCAGCUGUCAUCAGUCUUUUGAAGAUGGUAGAUUUGGCAGGAGAAGGUGGCAUUGUCUCGGAUUCUUCUCCUGGUGUUUUUGUGCAGGUUUGUUCAUCGUGAUAUAACUUUUGUCUUUCAUCAUGUUUGGUGCUAUAAAUUGCCAUAUAUAGUUUUGGAGGAUCAAAUUAAGAUGACAACUUUCCUAAUUUGGCAUUUUUACAAGAUACAGGGACAGUUUGAUAGGUCCGAAAUAAUUUUUAAUCUAGAAAGAGCUUGUAUACAGAUUAUGAUCGGGUUUUAUAUCAAACUGGCCACCCGUUACGUCAAAAUAUCUCACUUGAACCACCCAUCUCAUCGGCGACUCAUUUAAGCCACUACAGAUCAAAUAUAUAUCAUUUUACCCACAUCACUAUUCAUACCUCUAUACUUAAUCAUUUAUCAAAAAUUAACCGUUUAGCUUUUUACUGCAAAACCACUUCGAGUACUUUCAUAAUUGUUCCUAGUAUUUAUCAAAAUAAUUUGGGAAUUUCUAAAAUAACAUAACUAUGUUGUUAAAAAUAUAUAUAGCUAUAAAUAUAUAUUUAUGUGAUAACCCUAACUAUAUUGCUUUAUAAAUUCCCAAAUUAUUUUGAUAUAUACUAUAUACAAUUAUGAAGGUACUCGAAGUGGUUUUGCAGUAAAAAGUUGAACGGUUAAUUUUUGAUAAAUGAUUAAGUAAAGAGGUAUGAAUAGUGAUGUGGGUAAAAUGAUAUAUAUUUGGUUUAUAGUGGCUUAAAUGAGUCGCCGAUGAGAUGGGUGGGUUAACUCAGAUAUUUUGACGUAACGGGUGGCCAGUUUGAUAUAAAACCCGAUUAUGAUCGGUUCCAGUAUUUUAUGUUAAAUUACAAACUUAAAUGAUAUUCAAAUAUAUACAAUAAUCAAAGGUAUAUUUUACAGUGAGUAAACUGGACUCUGGAGAGUCAUAAUGAAUCAGGCUUUAAGACUAAAAAUUCCCAAAUUUUUGUAUCGGAAUUGCUUAUGCGAAACUUAGUGGUUUCCUUUUUUGAACUGUUCAAACUCCUUAAACCUGGUGGAACGUGGAAAGGCCUUUCAGACUUGGUCUUUUCUAUUUCUAUGCUUAUCCAGACUGUUGUUUUUGGAUAGGAACUGAUAUUUCUUUGGAAAAUGAUACCUAACUGUAGCCUUUAUAUUAAUUUCAACUGCAUAAGGUUGAAUGCUUCAGACACACAGAAAACUUGCCGAAUUAAAAUUAAUAACCUAUGAUUAUUGGCUAUCCACAGAUAAUAUGGACUGUUACGUAAAGUAAUUUUGGUUUUAUUGUAACGCUUCGAAGGGUGAAAGUAACUUUUCGUCAAAAGGUCAAUCUUGCAAACUUGUAUCUUAUGUAAUGUUUUAUUACAUUUCUAACUAGCUUAUCACUUUUAAGGAGAGAAUAUAAAAAAGACGAAAAAUGAUUUUAAGUUGGACUUUCAUAUUUAGCGUAUUAUAAAGUUGAUAUUUUUUUCUCAAGUAUAUACAUAUUAAAAGAUCUAGAAAAAAAGAAAGGUCUGUAAUACCAUGUGAUAAGCUUUCAAUUGUUUCCCAGUUAAAUUGAUACAUAAAAUAAGAGGUCCUUAUCAGUCUUGGAAAGAGUAGCCUACGAGCAAAACAGAGUCGGUUAGGAUCUGUAAUUGCAGGUUGAUUAAGAUCCUAAAUUGACGAGGAACGAAAAUAAAAAUAUAUAAGGAGUCUUUUAGUUUAGUCCUAUCUAGAGUGGAAAUUAGUGUAAAUUUUUUCAAUGCGGUGCUAGUAGCUUAUUGAAUAUGUAUUAGGUUAUUUAUGAUAACCGCAAUUUGUUUACGGGGCUUAGUCCAUUAUAUAAGUGAUGAAAUCCCCACAUAUUAGCAAGACAUGAUAAAUGGAAUAUUUUUUUGAAUAUUGAAUGGAGCCCCCAUUUCUGUUGGGUUGCGAUCCGUCAUAACUAACCCUUCUGCGGUUGCCUUGGGGUGGUGGAUUUUCUGCGGUAAAUCCACUCAAAUUCUUUUAAUCCAUCUCUAUACAAGCUGUCCUGCAUCGAUUACUUGUCAUGUAAAUAUUUGUCCUGCAAGACCUUUUAUAUCUUAACAAGUAAUCAUCGUGACACACUUCUCUUGUAUCAUGUUAGAUUUUUAUGUAUGUUUCAUUUUGCAUUCAUUAAAGUUCUAAUGUUCAGUUGAUUAGCUCCAUGAAAUAUCAAUCUAAGUUUCUAGUAAUUUACAGGGAUUGCUUGUUUAUGGUAGACAAGGCCGUGAGAUUUGUAGAAGGAACUUAGAUCCAGAUGUAUGCAGAGAGGUAAUUGCUUUUCUGCUUGUUUUGUACUAAUCUUCUAAGACCAUUCUUAUCAGGACCAUACAUCAUUACUAUUCACUAGUGGUCUUUAAAUGAUAUUAGUUAAUUGUUGAUUUCGUAAUGAGCUGAUAAUCUGAAUUGAUUGGUCCUUAAUAUUGGGUAAAGUAGUGCCUUUUGGGGUCCUUUCUUUCCGUGGAGUAAGCUGAUCAUCCUGAUGCAGAACUUGGUGAAUUAUUUGAUAUGGGAAUGUUGGAUGCAUAUUACUUAAUUCUGGUUUUUAGCACGUAUAAGGCGGAAUACUGACAUGUAUGCAUAAAACACAUGUUAGUUGUUUCUAUGCUAUUUCCUGGUAGCCCUUCAGCUGUGCAUUCCCCAUUCUUAUUUUAGUUCCUUUUUUUUCUAUGGAGUAAGCUGAUCAUCCUUAUGCAAGACUAUUUUAUUAUCCCAUACAGGAAUGUCAUCUGUAGGGUUGUAAAUGAACAGAGUUGUUUGUGAACAAAACUCGAAUCUGUUCUUUUAUUAAAAGAACGCGAUCAGCUCGGACUCGUCUAACUCGAAUCGGCUCUGUAAAAUUUGUAUAUAAAAUAAUUAAUAAUUUAAUAAUUUAAGUUGACAUUAAAUACGAUUACAUGAAAAAUGAAAAGUGACUUGUAAGUCUGAAAUUGACUUGAACUAUGGAAGUUGACUUAUAAGUCAUGAAUGAUUCUAUGAGUACAUUAUCAAAAGAUAGUUGGAUACUAUGGGGGCACAUGCUUAAAAAAAUAGUUAGACAUUAAGAUGAGACCGGAUAUAAUUUGUAAAAUAUAUUUCAAGAUUGGUCAAGUUAAAAAUAUAUGAAUAUAUGCGAUCUGUUUGUGGACAACUUGACUGUGUUCGAACUCGACUCGAGAUCGGUUCGACUCGAAUUGUUCAUGGGGUGUAAAUGAGCCGAGCCGAGCCGAAUUCUAGAGUGCUCGUGUAUCGUAUGUUAAAAAAUUAGCGAACUCGAGCUCGAGCUCGAGCUUGGAUCGAGUCAAAAAUAUUGUUUGAGGAUCGACUCAUUAAGGAAUUACUCUGUUCACAAACAGCUCGCGAACCGCUCACGAACAUGUCUACGAGCUGUCUCACGAGCUUUUGCUCACGAACCGCUCAUUAACUCACGCUUACGAACAUGUCUUACGAAUUUUUGCUCACCAACCACCCAUUAAUUAUUUUCACGAGCUUGUUUAAUAAACUUUGCUCACGAGCUAGCUUAUACUCAUAAAUUUAUUUACGAGCUUGUUUGUUAUUUAAUAUAAUUAAAAAAAAAUUAAAAUUCUAACACUAUUUAAAUUUAUGCUCUAAGGAAUCAUAAAUUCAUAAUAAAUUAUCCAUUAAUGAAACUCCCACAUCCUUAGUCCAAAGGGUUCACGAACCAUGUUCACGGGCAGAGUUCACGAACUACGCUCACGAGCCAAGUUCACGAACUUAUAAUUCGAACUUGUUCGCGAACUAUCGAAUCGAACUCUACUGUGCUCAAGUUCAGCUCGUUUAUAAAACGAACUUUAAAAUUGUGCUCAAGAUCGACUCGUUUAUAAAUCGAACCGAGCUCGAACCGAGUUUUUUUCGAACCGAACACCGAGCGAUUAUCGAGCGUAUCAACUCAUUUACAGCCCUAUAAUCAUGAGCAAACUCGUGUUCGGCUGGUCUAUUAUCGAGCUGAUCUUGAUCACCACUUUCCGUUCGGUUAGAACACUCGGAUUGGCCAGACUGGUUUUCAGAAAAUCUUAAACUCGACUCGGCUAAGACAAAACUCGGCUCGACUCUGUUCAUUUGCAGCCCUAGUCAUCUGUGUGGCUUGAUUAACUUGGCACAUAAUAGGGUGGCAGACUGACAUUUAUGCGCAUCAAACACAUCUUAGUUUUUAUGUCAGAUACCUGUUUUCCUUCAGCUGUGUAUUCUCCAUUUUUAUUGUCUCAUAUUCGCCAACAUCUGGUUUUUUCUUUCAAUCCAAAUCAAAAUGAAGUUGCUCCUGCAUAACUUUUUUGCUUGCUUUAUGAAAAACAAUAGACGAAACUUGUAGUCCCUUCUUUGUAUUAAAAUUAAUAUUAGAAUGCUGUGUAAUCAUAUUGGAUGAUGAUACUGAAAUUUAGAAUUUCUGAUAAGUUAAUACUUUGUAUGUUACUCAAUCUGUUGUAAAAUCUUUUUGAUCUAAAACAAGUAUAGUGUCUCUGUUAAGGAUUUUAAAUAAAGUAAGAUCCUAAUUCCUAUUGCAUGAGUACAUCUAGAUUGUGAUUGCAACAAUUAUUUGAAUGUUAGUGGCUGCUUUAUUAAAUAAUGAAGGUAUCUGGAUCUUUUAUACCUGCAGGCAUUUCUUUAUUCUCUUGAGCAUAAAGUUCCACUUAUUGCAUUCAGUCAGGACCGUUGCUUAGCAUUAGCAAAUCACCCUUUUGUGGACUCACUUCAUUCUGUAUAUCAUGAGCCAAAGGUGCCUUGCUCUUAAGCUGUUUUCUGGUAGCAUAAUCCGUGUACUUGUUUUGCUAGGUGUUCUUUACAUAAUUCAUUUGAUCUUUUAACAGGCAGAGAUCAUGCCUUCUGUGGAGCAUCUUUUGGCUAGUGGUGAUGUACAGGUAUAUUACUAAUGUUUUGUUGUUGACACAUAUCAACUUACACUUAUAAAAACUACAAGAUAGCUAGAACUAAUGUAGUAGCAAGUGGGGCCAAAUCCUAAGUUUUGAAAUUAUAUAAAUUAUGUAAUAUCAAAAGUUCUAGUUCUUUGUACGCUUGGAACAUUUAAUGAACAUGAGGCAUGUGUCUAAUAUGUAUGUUAGCAGUAUAGCAUAUGUCUACGCAUAUUCACUAGCAUACUAUAUAUGUGUAUUUGCAUGAGCCUGUUACGACCAUCAUCAAGUUAAUAUAUACUCCCUCCGUCCCAUAAUAAACGUCCUCUUUUUUUUUCAGGUUUUUUUCAUGCAUUUCCAAGCUUAUAAAAAACAUACUUGUACAUAUUAUUUUUUCGUGUUUUUUGUUUUGUAUACAAAUAGGAAGUUCAAAUUAUAAUACAAAAUAAAAAAUAUGAGAAAAUAAUGUCUACAAUUAUGUUUUUUAUAAGCUUGGAAAUGCGUGAAAAAAAAUUAAAAAAAAAAAGAGGACGUUUACUUUUUUAGCAGAGUCCUCUUGAUAAGCGAGGAUAUAUGUAAAAACUUCAAUGUCUUUUUCUGGCUACUAUACUCGAUUUAGGUUUAAUGCAGAACUUGAAUGUAGUCAAAAUUGAGCAGUGGAGUUUUAAUCUGGAAUGAUUUUUGUUGCUCUUGAAAGCUAUGAUAUUAAAAAGACACGUUUCAGGAAAGAGGGAGUAUAGAUGUACAGACGUACAGUCACUUGUCCUCUUGUGGUUCGAGGUUUAACAUAAUUCAAAUUUUGCUCAAAAUUUGCAGAAGGUGUUAUUCUUAGAUACGGCUGAGGGGGUGAGUACUACACUGCGGCCUUAUUGGUCAGAAGCCACAAGCAAUCGUGCCUCUGUAGUCCAGGCGCAGGAAGACAUGCUGGAAAUUGUACCCCUUGGAACUUCGAAAGGGAGUGGCGUAAAGAUGUUGCUCGAUCAUUUGGGUGUCCCUGCUAAGGAGGUUUGUUAGCCAGUGUACUGCACAAUAUUAUUUUACUAAAUGGGGGCACUGUCUCUUUAUACUAAUUGACGCACUAACAAAUGUUCCACUUAUAGAGGGCCUGUGUUAACCAGAUUGUGAUCUUAUAUAUAUAUAUAUAUAUAUAUAGGGUGAGACUCAAAUGAGAACUAGUAUGUUCUGUACCUCAUAUUUAUGUGUUCUGUAAAUAUUUUUCACUAUUUUUUGCUUCAAUCACAUAAAAUAGUCUCUUAAUUACCUUUUUGUUUGCACGACACAUCAAAACUUUAUAGAACACGAAUUAUAGAACAACUAUGUUCUGUACAUAACAUGCACGUGUUCUCAAAAUAGUUUUUCAUUUUUUUUUUAUAAAUGCAUGUUUUUUCUCAUUUUUGGGUUUUAAUUUACAGAAAUAUUUUGAAUAAAAAAUUUGUAAAAUAAGAAGAGUUCUCCGGAGUUCUCCAUAGAACCCAAACCUAUAUAUAUAUAUAGAGAUAUAGAGUUAAGUUCUAUGGAGUACAUAAAAACAUUGGAGUAUUGGAGUACAAAUCAUUAUUUUUUGGUUUGAUCCUAUAUAAUAUCUUUGAUUAUCCAAAUUUUGAUAUAAUCUAUCAUUUAUAAGUUGUCUUGCACAUAAUUGUCAAUUAAUCAUUAAUAUCUUUCAACUUUAACAAGUAUUAAGAUUAUUGUUCUGCUUAUUAGUUAUAUUGCAGAAUAUAGAGUCCUAUGAUUUAUAAAAGUAAUUAUUCUACCAUUUGAUCACGAUGUUUAUGUUGCAGAACAUAAUGUGCAGGUUGUCAAAUGUUUACAAAUAUUAUUGGACAAAAAAAAAUUGAAAUUUAGAUGACUAAAUUACAUUUUAUCAGACUUUGUACUCCAAUACUCCAAUUUUUUAUGUACUAUAUAUAUAUAUAUAUAUAUAUAUAUACAUAUAUGUUACAUAGGGUCGCGCUCCACAUAGAACCAUUAGGCAUAGAACCUUAGAAGUUAGAACCAUUAGCUUAUUUCUAGUAUUAGUUAGGGUUCUGCAGCAGGAAUGCACAUGAAAAAAUUGUCGUAUUUAUGUAUUAUAUUUUGAAAUUACUUGUGAACACACAAAACGAUGCAAAAAAACAUGUAUUUAGAUUUAGAUCCUAGUAAUCAAUAUCACUUUUCUCCACAGUAGAUAUUCUUAAACCUUGUAAUGAGUAAUAUGAAUGUAGUUCCCUUUUUACACAAGUGGUGCUCAACAUUAUCCUAUUGUGAAAGAAUAUUUGACUGCGAGUUGGUAAAACAAACAUUUAGUGUAAAUAAGCCGGGUGCAUAUAUAAAAAGAAUAAGAAGUAUAUAUCUGGUAACUUGAGUAAUUGACUAUAUCUAUGCAUCUACUUCCUCCACUAAUCUUCUUUCCAUUUCCACCAACCACAUGCAACCUAGGUAUUUCAGUGAUUAGGGAACAAAGUCAAGGACCCAUCUUUAUCUUGAUAAGUUUCAUAGACCUGGCCAAUAUCCUUUUAUCUCACAGUUUUGUGUUUUCUUCUAGGUGAAAUCUAUCUGAGAAUCUGGUAUUGAUUUAUAAAGUUAUGAAGUUUGUGAAAUUUGGUUCAAUUAAUAAAGAUAUGAAGUUUGUGAAAUUUUUGUUUAUCAGGUCAUGGCUAUAGGUGACGGGGAAAAUGACGUUGAAAUGCUUGAGCUAGCUUCUCUAGGAGUAGCUCUUAGUAAUGGAUCUGACAAAGCUAAAGCUGUUGCUGACAUCAUUGGUGCGAGCAACGAUGAAGAUGGAGUGGCCGAUGCAAUCUACCGAUAUGCAUUCUGAGCAUGUACACGAGCUUCAGUAUGCACUUAUUAUUUUUCUUUAAUCAUGACAAGUUUACAAGGUGAGGAUUUUACCGUCAAUAGUCCAGAUAAGCAAAUAGCAUUCUUUUAAUCAGUACCUGUCUCACGCGCGCGCGCACACACACACAUAAUUGUCAGUUGUUUCACAUCUCGUUUCCACUUGCAUUUGCAGGAUCUUUUGCAAAGCUAUUGCCCAUGGAAACCAAGAUACUUGUGGCGUUCGAAGGAUAUUGUAUCUAAGAGGGCGGAGACUGUACUGUUACAAGAGUAUGGCGAUUGUGCUAUAGCUAUUGCUAUUGAUAUAUUUAUGAAAUAAAUUAUAAUAUAUAUCACUCCAUUUUGUGAUAAAUAUAAUGCUAAAAUAACAUAAAAUUAUAGGCGGUACAAAAAAUAUAAUAUAUAUAGUAAUUGAAGUGUUCUUAUAUCGCUAAAAAGGUAAAAAGGGAAAAAAGAGAAAGGGAAAUAUAUAAAAAUACCUAUUAAACUGAUCACAAAAAUACGCAUUUUAGCUCUUCUGGAAUGAUAUUUCACCAACGGUUUGGGCACUUGAAGGAGACCUUCUUCGCCUUCCACCUAAUAGGUCCUGACAUAAGGUUAGCAUUUUAGUUCUAGAAUGAUAUCUCACUGACGGCAUGGCCUUAGAGGCCUUCUUUGCCUUCCAUCUAAGUUACGCCCCGAUUACGAAAAGAGGGAGUGGACCUGUGCAGUACCAGACAUGAGCUGAAGUUCACAAGAGAUCCCAUUUCUUUUAUUGGGUUCUGCUAGAGAUGAAAGAUCCUGAGGACUGAAAUGACUAAAGAUCUCCUUUAUUGUUAAUUUCUCUGCUCGAAGCCUCAUUUGUAUGAAUAGAUAUUGCCUCAAUUUCAUCAUUUGAGAUUAGUUAAAGUUGCACAUUAUCCAUUAUACAUUUUCAUUCGAGACGGAACUAAAUAUUUUUUCUUCCAGGUGCGAUAAAAUAAAUAGAAUUUAUACCUAUUUUAUAAAGAAGUUAAGGUUAAUUAAAUUUGAAACAAUUUAAUAAAAUAUAGAACUAAUCAUUACAAAAUUGGUGUUUAAAUGCUGACAAUUAUAUUUUGAUGACGAAUUAUAGGAAUAAAUUGAUUUUCACUGGGGUUACUCUAAGUCUUUAACCCAACUAAGCGAAAACAGUUUAAUGUGUGUUAUCAUCUAGAAGACUAGAACAAGUGCUUUUAAUAUUCUUGAUUAAUUAAAAAUCUCUGAUCAAUUUUUAAAGAAUAGUAGUUUGUUGAUUUACCGAUUAUACUCUGGUUUUAAUAAAAGUUCUAAUUCCAGAUUUUUAUGAUUCCGUUUGACUUAUGACAGUGACUUAAUAUUCUCUCUGGUCCGUUUUAUACGUCACCCAAACUUUUUGCACACAAUUUUAUAUAUCCUUUGACCAUCUACUUAAAGAAUUUUUUUUAAAAAAAUUUGUUUUCAUAUAUUAAAAUAUGAGAUUUUCAUUUCAAAAAAGAAAAUUUUAAAAGUAUUAAUUCUAAGUAUGUGGUCAAAACACCUAGAUUUGUGUGUAAAAAGUCACAGUUUCUCAUAUAUAGAACACAAAGGGAGUAAUAAUUAUUAUAUAUAGGGAUUUAACGUGACAAGUGUAUAACUUAAAUUGUUUGCUUGGGUAAGUUUAUAUUCAAAUGAUUAUGAGUUGUCAAAAUGUUGAUAAUAAAUAUAUUUUAAUAGAUUAUUUUUUUAAUAAUAAAAUUCUCUUUUAUUACAAAAUCACAAAAAAAUUAUUAGAACUUUUUUAUUUCUAAAUCAAUACUCUAUAUUUUUAAGUUAGAUAAAAAAAAUUAAUUUAUUACACAAACCGUUUUAAAACCGGACAUAUCACAUAUGAAUAGGCUCCAUGUCUAAACAUAUUCAACUUUCAACCCAAUGAUGUACAAUCUCGAUAUAGUGCUUGUUUAAAUAAUAUUAAGGAGUUUAGUCUUUUGUAAUUUCAAAUUAUUAUGAAAAUGAUUAUAUAUAUAUAAAGUUAAAAUUUAUAUAAUUGAGUAAAAGAACUACUAGAAAUCAUAUUAAGCUUAUUUUAAAAUAUAAUUUUCUUCUAAAGUAAAUAUAUUAUAAUAUUUAGUUAAAUAUCGAUUAUUUUUACUUCCAGAAAAUCGAAAAGGAUGGUAAUUUAGGACAAAAUAAAAUAAUAUUAAAAAUAAUAAUAUCAUACAUAAGAUUAUAAUCAAGGAUAAAUAUAUAAUUUUUGAAUCAAUUUACGCAAUGUUUUCUUUUUGAAGAGAAUUUACGCAAUGUUGUUUUAUUAGAAAUCAAAUCAGCCUUGUUCAAAAGGGCAUAUUGUACACCGCAUGAACCAUCGAGAUUGUUGUGUGUAGCUCUCAAGUUGCUCAGCUCAACUCUCAGAUUUCUAACUGAGGUAAUAUUUCCCGUCAUCUUAUUCUUUUAUAUGAGUUGAAUGUACAUUUUUUACUGUGCGAUUGACUUGUCAAUUCAUCUGUCCUAUGAAUUAUUCUUCGUUCCUUGGUGUUAGCUGAUGUUGGGAGAUGAAAUUUAAGAAUGCCCUUUAGUUCUAUUGUUGUUAUGUAACAAUAUUUGUUGGUCCUAUAUCAUGUUUUCAAACUAGCAUGGCUAGUGUUUGAUGAAAGUCCUCUGAGAAUCUUUUUCCCCAUUUUUGGAAUUUUGUGCGUGCACAUUGUUUUAAUUAUUCUUCUCGCAAAUUGUACUCAAAUGGGUGUGAGUAACUACUUGAGGAAUAACCAAUUUGUUUAUGAUUACAAAUAAAAAACUAUGGAUGUUUAUUUUCACUUUUGCAGUAAUGAAAUUUAGCUUAAAUUUGGUUCUGUAUGCAUAAAGAGUUCACUUUUAUCGGUAGUGUUGUUGGGUGCUGGAGUGUAAAAUCUUAUGCUUAAAGUUAAAGAAUUUUCUUGUUGAUCAGUUUCAGCAAGAUGUACAGGUGUUUUUUGAGUAUUGAAAGUCAUUGUUGUUCGUAAUCUGGGGCUUAGUUGGUAAGAGAUGGCAAAAUACAUGUUUGGGCUCUUAACCUUGGGUCAAAAAAUCCAAUAAGUCCCUAAUCUCACUUCUGACAAAAAUCAAUAGCUUAUAUUUUAGCAAACCAAAUCAAGUGUACAUCACCUUCUAUGAAACUCCUACUUAGUUCACCGUCUCUCCUUGAUUAGAAUUUACAUGACUCAGAAAUCACAAUAUCUUUCCCUCAAAAUGAAUUAUCAUUCAGCAGAAUCAUCUCAUUCCAAGGUUGUACAGAAAGUUGGUAGUGACGCGCUUGUGCUGACGAUGUGCCAUAUAUCUUCCACAUCUAUACUAUACUAUUAAAGCCGAAACAUUAAAAGUUUGGUCGGUCGGUACGCGGGCUUUUAUACGAAUUUUUAUAAUUAGCGGGCUUCAAAUAAAAUUAGUGAGCUUCAGACAAUAUAUAAACAAAUCAAAACAUAAAACAAAUAUACGAUCAAAAUAUAAAACAAAUAUAAAACCUAUUUGACUAUACCAAAACUAAAGUCAAACCUUAAAAAAUACUACUCCCUCCGUCCCCCUGAGUUGUAUACAUUGGGGGACGGGGACGCGGCACGGACUUUAAUGCUCCUGUAAAGUAUAGUUCUAUAAUUUAUUUUUAAGAUUUUUCUUUUCUGAAUAAAAAUUUGAAUGUUAUAUUUUUAUUCAGAAAAAGAAAAUUUUAAAAUAAGUUAUAGAACUAUAUUUUACAAGAGCAUUGAAGUGCGUGUCGAGCAGUGAAAAAGAAACGUAUAGAAUUAAAUGGGACAGAGGGAGUAUACUAUACUAUUAAAGCCGAAAUAUUAAAAUUUUGAUCGAUCAGUACGCGGGUUUUUAUAAAGACUUUUAUAAUUAGCGAGUUUCAAACAAAAUUAGUGGGUUUCAAACAAAUCAAAACACAAAACAAAUAUAAAAUCAAAACAUAAAACAGAUAUAAGACUUAUUUGACUAUACCAAAAACUAAAGUCAAACCUUAAAAAAUAUAUACGCAUCUGUACUAUUAUAUACUUAUAUAUAAUAAGCGUAAGGGAGAUAAUUUGGUCGCAUGGUUCUAUGGUAUAAGCUAGUUUAUAUAUAAUAAGCGUAAGGAGAUAAUUUGGUCGCAUGGUUUUAUGGUUUAAAAGCUUAUCAUCCGUUGGAUUGUAUAUUAAGCACCGUUAAAUUAGGACAAAAUAAACUUCUGUUCUAUAAGGCAAUUAAUAGCUAUUUGCAUGUUUAUUAUUCUUUUUCUGAAUCCAAAAUAAAUUCUCUAUGAUUUUUUUAAUGUAAAAUAAAUAUUUCCUACAAAUUUUAUUUGUAGAAUCAUAUAAAUUGCACCAUAUGUUUCAAAAAUAUAUAUAUAUAAAUCGCACCAUCACAAUUUUUAUAUAAUAUAUUUCAAAAUUAAUAAGCCGGAUUUAUGUGAGGAACAAAUACAAAAACUUUUUCUUAAUCCAAAACAAUUCUACCUUCUUAUUGCAUGUUUAUGAUUCGUUUUCUUAAUGCAAUACAAAUUAUGUUUAUCAAUUUUAAUUUAGAACCAUAAUUUAGAAAAAUAUUUAAAUCACAUUAUAAUAAUUUUAAUAUAAAAUACAUUUAUAAAUAUAAUCUAAUAGAAAUUGGCCUCACAUAUUCAACUCAAAAUUUUAUUACAAAUUGAUCGAAAGAAUUUAAUAAUUUGGCAUGAUACAUACGAGAAAAAGAAUGGCUUGAUUACAAUAGUUUAUUUGAAGCCAUUAAUUGCUGUGAUGGUGUAUUUAGAACCGUUCUAAGUUACAAACAAAUCAUAAUUUCAAAUUUUAUUUUAUUGAAAUUUUGAUUUAUUAUUUAUAAAUUAAAUUUUUUUCACGCCAUUUAAAAUAUAUCAAAAAAAUUUAUAAAUAAUUAAAAAGUUCCCGUGCCUUGCACGGGCUAUAAGCUAGUAACCAUUAUACCACUGUGAUGAAUAAUCUACCUCACCUUUGUGUCCUGCAAACCCCCAUUGUAACUAUCUGCCCUAACAUAAUUUAUAGCAGAAGAUUAAAUGAAAUAGAGUGCAUUUCAGUGGUUACAGAAACCUGUCUGGGGUUUUUAGAGGAGUUCUAAUAGAACAAAAUAUUUUUUAUUGGUUUGUGUUUGUAUAAUUUAUAUGCUCAUAGCUUGAGGGUUUUGGAGAAACGACUUGUGUUGCCUAGGGAGUGGUAUAUAUUUGGCGGGAGUUGUUUAAUUGGGCCAUAAGAUCUAAAUGAACAUGAGGGACUGAAUUGAUUUUUGACCCAAAUUUAAUGGCCAAAAUGUGUGUUUUGCAUUAUAGAUGGAGGCAAGUUAAUACCAAAAGGUCCAAAACCAUAUGCUUCAUUGUGUCAUUUUAGCAUGCAUCAAAAAUCAUUUCGGUGAACCAAAACUGAUGUAGAACAAUAAUUAAAGUGGAUAAAAAAAAUAUAUUUAGGGUAAAGGCUUAUGCUCAGUUAUUACAUGUAAAUUCAAGUAGUGUGCAGAUUAAAAUGUUGAAGACAUAUAGCUUUAUGUUUGUGUAAUACAAUCAUACCAGAGUUCAUUUUGUUUGUGUAUAUGUUGUUAUUAGAAGCGAUAAGCAAUGUUGCUUUUUCUUGAGUUUUGUUGGUUACUAAUAGUGUAAUACUUGAUAGUGCAUGUGAUUGGUACUUUAGCUCUAUCGAAGUAAACCUUUGAAUAUCUCUAGCUAAUUGUAAUCGUCAUUUUUUCAUUUUGCAAGUUAAGUCUCUAGAUGGCAAAAAAGGGAUCCUCAUCCUCAAGUAAAGCUUCUCAAGCCCCUGAGAAGAACGUAGUUGUAGAAAAAAAUAAAUUGUAUCCUACAAUACAAAAAACUGUUGGUAAGAGAAAGGCUGUAGAUCCUAAAGUUUUUGGUGCCGAGAUUGAUGAAAUAUUUUCUAGCAAGAAGAGAAAGAAGCCCGAGACUGAAGACAAAGUGGUGGAAAAUAAAGCUGCUACUUCGACGAAGAAGAAGAAGAAACCUCGUGCAACAAAUAAACCUACCAACGACAUCAAAGGGCCUCUGGACACACCUGCUGGACAAAGAAAGAGAACAAAAGAUGGGCUUGUUGUCUACACAGAAGAAGAAUUGGGCUUUGGCAAGUCAGACGCUGGAGGUACCCGAUUAUGCCCUUUUGAUUGUGACUGUUGUUUUUGAUAGUGACAUAUUUCCCCCAUCUAAGACUAAUUUUCUCAACCCAUUGUUAUGGUCGAAUUGUAUGAGUUCUUAGGUUUAAUACCUUUUUGGUUUUGUCUUAUGAUGAUUAGCAUUAUUUGCAGUGAAAAGUUGUUAGUAAUUUGUGGGCACAUAGGUGUACUAUAUAGCCCCUCGUUAAUUCUUGAUGGACACAAUCUUUUCAAUUUCCUUGUCUUGGGCCAUGAUUUUGUUAACCUGAUAAUUGAGGUUGAAGAUCUGAGAUGACAUUUUCUCAAUCUUUUCAGAAUUUCAGUAUGUUGCUGAAGUUGUGACUCACGUUACUGCUGUUGUUACACUACAUCAUAGAUGGCUUACAACAACCUAAUUUGAUUUGAUGUUAUCAUAAACCCCAGUUUGAUUUUGUUAUAGUCCAAAAAAGAGUGAAAAUAAUAUUUCAGGUGUGCUGGACUGUUUGUCGUUAGCUGUCUAUCACAUAGGGUUGUCCCCGACGACUUAAAAAUUUGCAGAAACUCAGAUAAUAUUGACAUGAAUAUAAGAAUAUUGCACUUAAACACUAAGCUAGUACAACAAUUACUACAUUCUUCUGCACACAAUUUUUCUUACCUUAAUUUCCACACAGACAGAGUUGGUCCAAAAGCAGUUGAAUACAUGAAUUCUGAAAUCUAAAUCUUGCACUGAAAAUAUGUUUUUACGUAUUCCACAAUAAGAUGAGUGAAGUAGGUCUUGGGUUGCAGGGCUCUUGGUCUCUCAUCAUAUUCAAUUUCAACAAUGUUUACAUGAUAUCCUCUGUAUGCCAGAUGUUGUUCUAUCUUCUUAUGUGAGCAAUGAAAUCGUCAAAAUCCAGGCGACUAUCGCCUCCUUCGCCCACUGAUAUCUUGACAGCUUUGCACAGCUCUACCGUUCUCUUCCUCAUCUCUUCUCCUUCUGCUGAUGUCAUCAACUUUCUAACAGCAUUCUCAAUCGCCAACGAUUCCACCAACUCAUAUCUGCGUGACCAGUCCCUCACCACAACUCCGAUGUUAAGAACCUCGGUUACUAACAAGGCAUUAUGGGGUUGAUCAGAAUGCAUAGGCCAUGUUGCUAAAGGGACUCCCAUUGUAAUACUUUCCAUGCAUGAAUUCCAUCCGCAGUCUCAUAAACCCUCCUGUUGAUCUGUGCGCCAGGAUUUCCAACUGCGGUGCCCAAUCUCUCACUACAAUCCCCUGCCCCUUGAGUUCUAUUCUUUCUUCGUACUCUUCUGGCAACUCGCGUGCUCUCCCAUCCCCCCCAAAUAUGUCUCCUCUAUCCGCGUCCCGCAAUACCCAAAUGAACUUCUGGCCACUGUUCUCAAGCCCAACCGCAAGCCUCUUUAUCUGUUCAUCUGUCAAAGUAGUUGUUGAUCCGAAAGAAACAUAUAUUACAGAACUUGUAGCUUGUUUGUCUAGCCACUCCAAGCAUUUGUGGCCUGAAUUCUUGCAUACCUCUACGGGGUUGAAUGGUCCGAUAACCCAUUGUUUGGAAUUCACCUUUGCAAGCACAUCAAGAAAUGGAGCUUCGAUUGCUCUACACGAAUUGAAAAGCGCGCCUGAUCUGUACUUGUUAUGCUCCUCCUGGCUAUUAAUGAAUUCCAUAACUUGUGGAGUCAGGGUAGACGCUCUAGAAGGGACCUGUUUGGCAAUCUCAUCACCGAUCCCAUGAGGCCUCCCCAGAGUUUCCCAGAAAUAUGAUGAUAUUCGGAAGGCUGAGAGGGACUGAAAAGAGUAGGCUUCUGCAUUUGGUAUUUUACCCACGUCCUGAAUAAUUGAGGGAACAGAAUCAUAAAUUACGACAAGCCUUCUGGUGGUGGGAGAGAGCGCAAAUAGUAGUUUGGUCACCGCUUCUCUAAGGUGCAAGACGGAGUAAAAAGAGGGUACAAGGUGGGAAGGAAAUCCAACUUCGGUUUGUGGGUUGGGAAGAGGAGAGGGAAACGCAGGUACUGAAAAAUCAUGGAAUUUCAUCAUAUCAGGAGUCGAGAGUGGGUUCCAGCCCUGGACUCGUAGCUUGGCCUGGCGACUGUGGAUGGCGGUGCUUGCAUAGUGAACGGGAAUGUUGUAGGAAGAAAUGAGACGGGAGAGGUGGAGGAGCUGGUUCAGAUGGCCUUGCGCGGGGAAGGGAACCAUGACUACUAUCACCGCAUGACUCUCUUUUGCUUGCUUCUCUGCUUCAUCCUCACAACUCAUCCUUGGCUUGUCUCCUCAAAUCUGCAAUAUCAGUCUUGAUAACAAGCAGGGCCGGCCGGCUCUUGGGUAAGGCAACCAAGACUAACGCUUGGAGCGUAAAUUUUUCCUUUACAAUCUUAAAAAAUAGGGACACAGGGACACCAUUUUGAAAAUUUGUCUAGGAUACUCAAAUCUCAGGAGCCGGCCCUAAUAACAAGUGGAACACCAACCAAACUAUACUAGUCUUCUCUUUGUGAUUUUAGGCUUCCCCGGAAGCCUUAAUAUGACAACAAUACAUGCUGUCAAAAAUCAUUAUGCAAGUUUAAAAUAAGAAUGGAAAGAUAUUGAUGAAUAAAGAACGUCCAGCGAUUAGUUUAUUACAGGAAUGAUCCAGUUGAUAGAUGCUGACAGGUUGUGUUUACAUCACUAGCCUGCUCUACAGAUAUCAACCAUUGGUGACCGACAUUUCCAAAACCCAAUAUUGGUUCAACUAGAAAAUAAUGAAUACUUCAUAUAUAGAAUUCAAUACUAGAACAUGCCAAUAAUUUUCUUUUGCAUGGUGUACAUUUCAUACAAGAAUGUAAUUUUCGAUGAAAUAUUUUUUUCAUAAACUUGUCAAAGAUCACAUUAUCUAGCCAAAGAUCCCCGAGAAUUUAGAUAUUAAAACUUAUAUGUGAAAGGGUAAAAAAAAUAAAUUCAAUAAGUCUAAUCCCAAAAAAAUCAUCAUCAAUAAUAUUUAAUCAUCAUCAUAUAUGGUCAAAAAUAUCUUCUAAGUAUGGCCAAAAUCAUAAAAUAUUGUAUCCAUGUCGGCAGAAGCACACUGAGGUGGCACCCAAGAAAAAGAGUAGCCGCUUUCCCACUAUAAUUCUAUUUUCAUUCCAACAAAUCAAUAAAACCAUCUCGGUUAAUCUGAAUAAAAGACACGACUUCCAGUUUCAACAACCAAUUUUUCUACAAAUUUCCUUUCUGAGAGUCUGAGACUAAAAAGACUUGGUUUCGCCACCCCUAUUUCAUUAGUAGAGCUUUAUUGAAAAAGACCUUGAAAUAGGCCGAUCACUAAGGUUAGUAUUCCUUUUUUUUUUGACAGAACUAAGGGCUAGUAUUAAAUAACCUAAUCAAGACACUAAUAUACAAUGCAUAUAAGUAUUUGCACAAAAAAUUUAAAAUUUUAAAACAAUUAAUGUCUAGAGAGUCGAUCACAGUUUAAUAAGACGUGACUUGGGUUAGACAUGCCAUUUUUAACACACUUUUUUUUCUUUGAUAAAUAUCUUGAAUGCACGUCAGGAUUUUAACAUGCCAUUAAUUUUAUGUGUUCUUUUCUACUAUUACAGUACAUAAAGUUGGUACUUUUCGUACACCAACGUUGCAGUUCUAAUUUACCUUAAACUUUUAAUGUAUUUUCUGUUGAGUCCGGGUAGCUGGUGAGUUAUUUUUCGUCUGUUAAGUAGAAUAUCAAGUGAUCAGGAUUGUAAUAAAAUUUUAAUAUAUUAGCACUUUUUCACUGUUAGACACGUAAAAUAAUCUCAUCCAGCGAUUAAAAUACGGAGAAAAGACCCUAGAUCUCACAAAAUCUAGAAUUAAUGUCCACAAUAACAUAGUUAUGAGAAAUGAUCUCAAAUAUUAUAUACAGAUGAAGUUGCGUUUUAUUUUAAAAUACACAAUGCUUGUGUAGUGUUUUAUAUAGCAACCUAACGUUAUUUUGUGUAGCGUUUUCUACACCAUAAAUCAGUAACUCAACACCUCGCAGUCUCUGAUUACUUGUUGUGGUAUGACUAAUGACUUACUUUGAUAAUUCAAUUUGGGCUUAUUUUGAUUUCUGCAAUUAAAUCUCAACUAGCUUUUUUAAGCAGCAUUCAAAUUGAUGGUAUAUGAUAAAAUAUGCAAUUAGUGAGUUUAGAAAUCUAUGCAUAGAAAAUGAUGAAACUAGAAUUUGACAAUCUAACGCUUUUUGUUUUAAAAUAUUACACUAGGGUAAAUCAACGCUAUUUCGUAUAGCGUUUUAUUUUUUAAAAUAAAAAUAUCACACAAUAUGUUAUUAAUAAAUAAUACCCAAGAUCAUAUUCCGAAUCUUACAAAUUGAGACAUUAAAUUUUGAAAUUAUGAUAACCGGAGUCAAUGUCCUAAAAAACAUUGGACAAAUUCUCAUCCAAUGGAUAAAAUACACUUAAAAUAUAAUAAAAUUGGUAUAUCAGUCAUAGAAGGUCCUGCCAACCGACCGGUACCCUAAAUUGUUACGGGAACCGGUACCUUUUCUUUUCUCAUACACAAAUGUUAGUCUUAAUUUAUCGUAAACUGUUAAUGUUAAUGCAGAGAGUCAGAGACUAUAGUGUCUUCUCAUCCAUGUGUUACCUUCAGGCGGUGCUUUCGUUUUUUACCAGCGGUAAUAAUCGAUUAUUUUGAACCAUUUGACUUGAUCAAUUCUAGAAUAUAUGCAUAGAAAAAUUAGGAUUACAAAGUUGCAUGCAACAAGUCCAAAAACUAGUUUAACACAAUAAGAUGUUCAAUUCUUAGUAACUUAACAAUCAAACACUUGGAAACACAAUAAUACCGGGCAGCACAGGGACAUGCAAAUAUGCUAUUAAACAUAAUAUCAAUCACAUAUUUCAAUAACAAAACCAAGCACUUGAUAACCCAAAAAUACCCGAAGCUAGUCUGAUGCACUUUAUAACCUAGAUAAUAAGACUGACUGGGGAAUACAUCAGCAUAUGAUCAACCUAUCAGUUUUGGGGAGAGGUUUUGACAACCCCACUAGCAGGAACAGACUGAGAAGCAGGUGCUGCAUUUGCGUCGGCGGUAUAAGCUGGAGGUUGCGAAUAGGCAUUUCCAUAGCUAUUGUUAUAUGUAGGUGGAGGCUGUCCAUAGGCAGAUUGCGUUGCAGGAGGUGCACCAUAUGGUGGUGGAGCAUAACCUGAAGCUUGUGCAGCACUAUAACCAGCUGCUGGAACUCUUUGAGCACCAGGAUCUGGCUGAGCAUAACCAGUUUGUGACGGGGGAGGUUGAGGAUAGCCUGGCUGCACCUGAGCAGGUUGAACGUAACCCCCUUGGGCAGAAGGGGACUGCUGGGUCUGCCCAUAGGCUUGUUGGGUGGCUGGAGGCUUCUGAGUUUGAGGUGCUCCAUAACUCGAGACAUACCCUGAAGGCGGUUGAGACCCGUACCCAGUUUGUGAAGUUGGUGGCACACCAUAACCCGGCUGAGUUGGCAUCUGGGAUGGGUAGGCAGAAUUAGGACUGGGCUGCUGGCUAGUGUAUCCUUGCUGUCCUGGAGCACUUGAAGGAGGUGCUUGAUUGCCAUCACCUUGAGCCCCAUAAGAUGGAGUUUGCCCAUCCGGUGUUGCGUUAGCAACAUUAGAAUAUCCUGAUGUAGUAUUAUAUGCUUGUUGCUGAUCAUAAACUGGCUGUGGCUGACUAUACCCAGUUUGAGGAGCAGGUGCAUGAUACCCACCAUAGCCAUCUUGGGUGUAACUCUGACCUUGUUGACUGUAACCAGAGACCGCUUGUUGACCGUAAGCAUAGCCAGAAAUAUCUGCAGAGCCAGGAGCGCCAGGUGCCUGCUGUGGCGGAGCUGGCUGCUGACUGUAGUAAUCAUAGGCACCUACUUGAGUAGUCUGCUGAUUAGUUGCAGCAGCAUUGUGGUCCCAGCCCGUACCAUAUCCACCAGAACCAGGUUGUGAAGGAUACCCAGCAUAUUGUGGUUGAGUCAUAUUAUACUGUGGUGUUUGUCCAGAAUAACCUCCAGGCUGAACAUAUCCAUAAGCAGGAGGUCGGGCCUGAUAACCUUGAUGAGAAUAUCCUGUUGCUGCAGGGUUUCGAAGACGGUUCUGCACAAAGUUGUCAUCUCAAAUGAACCAAAUGAUCUAAUCCAGUAAUCCAGUUUACCAUGGGAAAUACAAACGAAAAGAAAAGAAAAAAUCAUUUAUGCACUCAUAGCUAGCUAAAAACAUGCCCGAAAAACAAAAUAAUAACACAGAACAGCUUACCAUAUUAAGUACAAGAGAUAAUACAAAAUUGUAUCAAGUGCAAUUAAGUAGGUACCCACAUACCCGUACUUGUCGAGAGGUACUAUUGCUAUGCGAGCAGUCCCAUCCUCUCCCUAUUCGAAGUGAAUGGGUACAAAAGAAAGUUUGCCCCGGGAGAGAAUAUAUGAUACACGAGAUUGUACAAAACAAAGCAUAUGCAAUAUCUCAUUCAAAUGACAAAUUGAAAACAGCAUGAAUAUAUUAAGCAAACAACCCAGGGAAAAAACGAGUAGAAAGUAAGCAAAUAUAAAAUCAAAAUUAUGAGAAGACAAGGCACGAUUCGUCUCUUAAAAAUUUGAAGGCCAGUGAACAAUAGUUUUAUCAAAAAAUAAUUUGGCAAGUUCAAACCGAAAAACUAAAUUUUGAUAAAAACCUAGAAAAAGUUCAAGCCCUGUUUUUGAAGAGAAAUUUUAGACACUGGCACAGCAUGUAAACUCAAUUUCGAUACUUGAAAAAGGUCCAACACCUUGUAUACACUUGAUCCAAAAAAUGGUAUCCAGUGCCCCUCCAUGCUCACAAGUAUGGAAUUACCAGCAUAAAUAUCAGAUGUCCAAAAUUAGAUAUAUAAUAUAUUCAAUACAUAAUGUAAAUGCAUAGUCUUAAUUGCCAGGAUUACUAAUCAUUAUAGUGUCAACACAUAGAACUGAUGAAGUUUGGCCUCACAACUUAAAGUCCAGCACUUAUCACAGAUAUCAAAGUUUAUCACUGUAUACUCAAAACCUGGUGUCAACAACUAGAGCUCUUGACCAAUCCUCAACUAUAUCACCAAUUCAUCGCCCAGCUGUUAUAAUUAGAGACACCAGCCAGAAAAAUUAUGUGCACGCUGCCAAAUGGCCCUGCAGGGGGAGUCCGAAUAUAUACACACACUAUCCAUCUAUCACAGGUAUACACAUUUAUAAACAUUACAAUCAAAAUUAUGGUCCCAUUUCAUUUAUGUAAAAUGCUUCCUAAAGCACAUUUGAAGCAAACUACUCUAUCAGGAAAAAAUGCCAGUUCCAAUAAAGGAUAAAUAGCUUUAAUAGAUGAUUUUAUUACAGAUAACAUACCCAGCCGUGUACUAAAUACUAAAUCACUCACAAUAUGAUUCAUCAUCCUUUGAUCUGAGCUCAUUGCACAAAUAAGCAGUGUCGAAAAACACAAUAUAUAUUCAGCUGUAAGAGCCUGAACAGGCUUGAUGACAAGAUGAAAGAAGUAAGAUGAGCAAAAACAGAAGGAUCCAUACAUAAACUGGGGAACAAGAAGAUGGAUAAUAACUUGAACCAAAGCAAUGAAUACAAACAGUAAUAUUAUUAAUUAAUAAGCAUCAUUCACAUGCAUAUAAACACAGAAAAUAUACAUGUACAUUGCUCAAAAAUAUUAUAAGGAUUAAAUGAGAUAUUGACAAAAAACUUUGACAAGGUGAAUGUAAUUAAUAGAGAUGAUUAAAGGGAACAUAAAAAAAAUACAAAUUGAACACAAUAAGCAACUGUAACUACAAAUCAAUUUGAUAUCACAUACAGCCGUAUUUCUUUGCAUACAUACACAUACCUC
Molecule: long non-coding RNA, 51506 nt
Filed under: Daucus carota (carrot)
Lineage: Eukaryota; Viridiplantae; Streptophyta; Magnoliopsida; Apiales; Apiaceae
Description: long non-coding RNA (DCAR_LNC000619)
Source: RNAcentral